CCAGACCACACAAGACGACCCAAAUAAACCGCUCAGACCUGCAUCCCUAUUGGUACAUCAAAACUGUGCCGCCAGGGCAUUUACUGGGGGGUGAACUUGGUGGCGUAGGCGAAGGCGUUGUUGGUGCCGGGGUUGGCCAGGUGGUCGGACCUGUGGAGCGGGCACGAGGAGCAUAACAUCACCGGGUAAACUAAGAUGGGAGUGCAAGUAUCAACUCGAAUUAAUGUUUAAUCCGCGUAGGUUAGCGCGGCUGGGCAUUUAUGGCAAGCAGCGUGCUGCACACACCGCGACUCAUGUUAUGUCACCCUAGGCCCCCAUCCCUACUCACAGGUUCUGCAGGGGGCCCUUGCCGGUCACGAUGGCCUGAACGAAGAAGCCGAACAUGGAGAACAUGGCCAGGCGGCCGUUCUUGAUCUCCUUCACCUUCAGCUCAGCGAAGGUGUCGGGGUCGUCAGCCAGGCCCAGGGGGUCGAACGAGCCACCGGGGUACAGCUUGUCCUGCAACGCGGAGGGAGCAAGGGUGGGCAAUGAUGCCAUGCACAACGUCCACGAACCGUGCAUUGCUACUGACGCAACCAGACAACACAAACCGAAACUGUCCCAUGUGUUUUGAGGGAAGCUUCCCUUCACAGCGAACCGCACUCACCAGGCCCUCGCCCAGGGGGCCGCCGUUGACGCGGUAGCCCUCAAUGGCGCCCAUCAGCAGCACCUGGGUGCCCAGGAUGGCCAGGAUGGACUGGGCGUGCACCAGGUUGGGGUUGCCCAGGUAGUCCAGACCGCCCUCCUGGAAGAUCUGAGCACCAGCCUUGAACCACACGGCCUCGCCGAAGGGCACGCCGUAGGAGCCCAGCAGCUCGGGGAAGAUGCAGCCCAGAGCGCCGAGCAUGGCCCAGCGGGCGUGGAUCAGCUCCAGCUCGCGGUAGCGCUUGAAGGUCUCCGGGUCAGCGGACAGACCGGCGGUGUCCCAGCCGUAGUCACCUGGAAAGCAAGUAAGGGUGUGUGGGAGGGGCAAUUUAGGAUAGAGCAUCACCAACCAGCUGCUGGACAGCGCUCCAUGUCCUGAAGGCUUCGCCAGCCCGAGCUAGAGAUCCCUUGCCGCAUGUGCAAAUCGCAGUUGCCCGAUCGCCAUGCGUCGGACUUGGACUAUCUGUAGUGACUGUGCUGCAAGAGCGACCGUGCGACACUGUUGCGCAUGCGAACGCCCAGAACCCCGCGACACAGAAAGACUUACCGGGGAACUCGCCAGUCAGGUAGCUCGGGGGCUCGCCAGUGAAGGCGCCCAGGAACAGGGGGCGCUCAGGGCCAUACCAGAAGCUGCAAGCAAAGGGCCAUCGCGAAAGGGUUCAGACGUCAAGAGCUUGAUACAGUGAAAUCGGCAGGCCGCAUUGUAGACAUGGAGCUGUAUUCUUUGCCACUGGUGGCAGCUCACCAGACAGGAAGCGCAAGUCAGGGAAAGAGGAUCCCCAUGCCGGAGUGGCCAGUUCCGGCAGUCGUGCCCUGUCAUUCCCCCUGCAAAUCUUCCCCAGAGCACUUCAUUGGCGAGCUACACACCUGUCCGGGGUGGACGCCUUGGAGGCGGGCUUCACGGUGCGGCGCGCCUCGACCUUGACGGUCGAGCGGCGAGACACCGCGGCGCGAGCGGAGGACUUGGCAAGGGCGAAGGCCAUUUUGACUGGUGGGAGUAACUUCUGUUGAAAUCACUGUCUGAACACGGUUGGGGCUGAGUAUUUAAGGCGUCCAGGCUCGGGGUCGUACGGCUUGCCGAUCGAGAUCGGGGUGCCAUCUGCGCCCUCUCGCGAAUCCGUCGCUUGGCGCUCGCUGGCGCGCGUCUGGCACAUCGGAUAAUCUUGAAAGCCCAUGCAAAACCUAGCGCACGCUCGGGCGGGUCGCUUCCGCCCAGAAAUGGAGCAAAACCGAUGGAAAGGCGCGAAGGUCAUGUGAGGGGCCCUUGCGCAGAGCGCGUGGCAAGGAGAAAAUCUAUGCGCAGCGGAUAGACCACAAAUCACUUGUAGCACUGAAAGCGACCGCGUGCUGAGAUAGCGCCUGGCUGGAAAGCGGCAGUCGAUGUGGCGCAUGUCGACGGAUGUCGGAACUCCGGCUGGUUGUGCUUAGCUUGGUUAGGAGCUCCAGGCGCUGCACGGGGGUGGUGUUUAAAUAAUCAAAUCGCCGUCUUGAUUCAGUUGCGGUAAGCGUGAGGUGCUGGCGAGGUGGGAAGGGGCGCAGGGGCGCUUCGCUGGCAAAGCCUGGCCUCUUUGCGGUUGUGGUAGCUGGAGGCAGAUGCAGGUUGCACUGUGGCAGCGAGCCAGCGGUGCGUCAGUGUGGUCUGUGGGUUGGCGUGUGUUGGGGGGAAAUAGUGGCGCAGCUAGAUGUAGUGACGCCUGUGGCACGGCCUGUGGCCCUGUGUGGCCCUGUGUGGCCCAUGACAUGGCCCGUGCGUCUAUGGCGACACGCCGACCCUCGCCGGCCUGCCCCGCCCAACGAUGGUACUGGCAGCGCAUCUCUUGACACUUGCACUGAAACGUUGUCAUUGAUACUACGUCAAGCGGCAGCAUCGGGAUGAUCGGUCUAUGCACCAGGCAGGGCUUGCAUCUGCCAGGGGUACCGUACGCGGCCGCCGCUAGCGAGAGGGACCCGGUCCCUGGCCCGAACCGUUUCCUCGCCCACGGCAUCCAGGGCCCCCAAAAGCCUAGAUUUUGGCGUUUGGCUCCGCGCCUCCGGCCCCCCCGGAAAGGGAUAGUUGGCGAGAUUCGGGGACAGGGAUAGUUGGCGAGAUUCGGGGACCGUAUGCAACCCGCCCACGCGGCGAGAAUGGUUGCGAUAUUACAAAGAAGGGACAGUCCGACCAAGCAAGGGUGCCCAGCACCCAGGUCAAGAGGGACCAUCUCCGGCCCGAAGGGAAACCACCCUCCCCCCAGUUGGCUACCGACCUUCCACAACCGUGCAAUAGGUCUUCGCGCAAAGCGUGUCUCGGCAGCGGCACAGUGAGUCGAAGCCAAGCCAAGGCCCGCCAAAGCCCCACCAACGUACAGCAAAUCGCACUAGCGCACGAAGCGCAAUCAAACCGGCGAGGUGUCAACGCAGGUACGCCGGGCACGUAGUCCGGCGACGCCCACGCCGACGCCCCAUACCCGCCGUCGUCCAGCCCAGCCAUCCCAAUACAGCAGCCGCUUUCCGUCAGCCAGCCAUGGGCGCGACCGUCCACAGCGUUUACCGUCGGUUACGAGGUAACAUGUGAAUUCGCAACUUGCGCUACUGACUGCCUACUCUCGUGCCGCCUGCAAGCCCACUCCGCCAUCCGCUCUGGUCUACGUACAGUGCAUUCGUUUCCACAACACUCGUCACCCAAGGCGCACACACCAGAGGCACACAGCUCCCACCACCCAUCAGCAAAUUAAGGCGAGGGGGGCGGGGAGCCCACGUCAUCAGGCAACACUAGCCGCACACAGUCACCCGCACCCCGCGAGAGGAACAGGUGGUGCGCAGGCACCUCGGCCCAGGCUUUCGGGCGGAGGCCGAGGGUGACAUACGAUUGCAGCCUGCCCCAGAAGUCAGCAAUAACGGACACACUGAUGCGCAUGACUUCGCGGCGAGAAUGCAUCUCAGGGAAUGCCCCAUUUCUCGCCUUAGGGCCUCACAGCGGUGGGGCUCUGGCGGGUUGAGGCUUGGCUAGGACUCACUGUGCGCGGAGUCACACGGACUUUGACCGCGGGAGGGUUUGCAGCAAAGUCGGGGUUGGUGGAGUCAAGUUGGGCCCUGAUAGCAUGUGAUGGCUCGGCGUCUUCGGGUGCUGGGACUGUCCCCUCUGUAACAUCCGCAUCCAUAUCCGCCUCAGACUGUGGACCGGGAAACACUUGUCAACAUACGCUGCCGCCGGAUCUUCCAUCCCCAUAAUCUUUUCAGGGGGCUCCGCCCCCGACCUAUGCACGGUUCGUGUCAGGCCAGGGGUGUGUCAGGCCGUGUCAGCAAUCUGUCAAUCUCCCAUUCAUGCCGUGCAUCCAUCUUGAAACAGAAACUCCACACAAACACACAGCUUGACCAUGAACCAUUACCAUUGCGCACGCCAUGGCUCCAGGGCAGCAAAAUAUUACGCAGCAAAAUAUUACGCCGCACGGCAUGCGCCAUUAUUACAGCGUGCGGGGUAAGGUUGCAGUUGCCCUCAGCCCACGUUUCGGCUCCGGCACAGCAAAAUAUUCCGCCGCACGGGAUGUGCCACUGUUACAGCGUGCAGGGUGAGGUUGCUGUUGCCCCAGCCCACGUUUUGGCUCCGGCACAGCAAAAUAUUUUGUCGCACGGGAUAAGGAUGCGGAUGUUACAGAGGGGACAGUCCCAGCACCCUAAGACGCCGAGCCAUCACAUGCUAUCAGGGCCCAACUUGACGCCACCAACCCCGACUUUGCUGCAAACUCUCCCGCGGUCAAAGUCCGUGUGACUCCGCGCACAGUGAGUCCUAGCCAAGCCUCAACCCGCCAGAGCCCCACCGCUGUGCCUCAACGCCACAAGCCUAGGCACAGGAGUGCCGGCAAACGUCCAGGCCGCAGGACACACGCACAGCGCACGAACUAACCAGGGCGCAAGCGUCCAGGUACUAGAACGGUUGCCCACACGUGCAUCCUGCCCACACACAAAGCCACCAACCACGCACAACCUGUCACGGCGAGGGAGGCGGGGAAUCAGCGUCAUACGGCAAGCGCAAUACCAUGCCUUCACCAACAGCCCGAGAUAGGAAAGGAUGCGCAGACGGCACAGUGUCCCAACCCUUUGGCCUCAUACCCAAAGUCACAAACGUUAUAAGGGCCCACCGGCCCGGGCCACUGGUACUUACGGGGACAGGAUAGCACGCAUGCUCAUGCAUACCACCUUGUAACCAACAACAACAGCAGGAACGGCGGACAGGGGUGUUCCUGGUGGUCUUCGCCACCCCGCGAACAGCUAAGCUCGGGGGCUCAGCCCGGAAAGUGAAACGAUGCGCUUGCUCAAGAUGGUGCGCUUGGUCUGUCCGCGCUGCAUUGCUAGCCAUGUGCCUGUGAGGCCCGUGCCAUCGCACACAGUCCAUGGGAUCAGGGGCCCAUAUGGCGGGAAAAUUUGGAGACACGGAGCCAGAGCUUGCAGGCCGGGUUGCACCGCUGUUGCACCGUACUAGCCUCCUAGCUUAUCAUACAGACACCGGCGCCCUUUCAUCUACAAGCCCCCCACCCACGCUCCCAUCCAGUCCCUUCGCAUGUACAGGAACAAUUUGCUAGUUGAGUAGAAGGGCAAUCAGCGCUCGCCUGGGAUCGAAACGGGUCGAACUAGGCGGGCUUGGCGAUGGGCCGAUGGCCAUGGUCGAGCCGGUUUGCGCAGGGGUGAGCCAUACCUCAAGGCCAAGCCUCACUCUACCUCCAGGGCAAAAUGCCAGGCUAUGCAACUUAGCAACCUGGGUCCCUCCAGCAGCAUUUCCCUCAUUUUCCUCGCGCUGAUGGAGAUGAUGCUUGGCAGAGCGUGGCCUGUGGCCCUGUGCCGCGGUGGCGGCGACGGCGGUGGUGGUGGAGGGCCUGGCCCAACCACCAGCAGCAGCAGCAGCAGCAGUAGCAGCGGUAGCAGCCGGGGCCACGCGGCAGCGGCCCUGGCCCAGCAGUUGCGGCGUGCAUGUGCGUAGUGGAGGGGGCGAGCAAGGCCACGUGGAGGAGGACAGCGCGGCGCCGCCCGAGAAGCGGCGCCGGCGCGCAGGUUGAGGCCGGCCGGUGUCUAGUGAGGGUCUUUGCUGGCAAGCAUAGCACAGCACUGUAUGUGGUAGGCCGCACGCAGCAGUGAGGAGUGUUGUGGCUAGAGGAUUUGCCGCUGUUUGGUCACACUGUGCUUGCUGUGCAAUUGCUUAACAGCGGGACGCGGCUGGAUGCAUGGCGGGCCGUGCCUGUACAAACCGACCCCGCCUAUGUCUGGGAGAUGAGGUAGACGCUUGCGGCCUCAGAGAGUGGAGGGGCUCAGCCCCUUUUCCCGUGACCGGGGAACACUUGUCCCAUGUCAUUGCUUGUCGGCGAAGUGUUUGCAACCUAUCUGCCUGGGUGGCGGGGCCGGACGACAUGGAGGUGGAGACGGCGCCCGCAGCGGGCCCGGCGCCUCGCGGCUGUCGCGGAGGCCCCGGCCGCGGCCGCUCUGCUGCCCCUCGGGUGCCGCCGUCCCCGCGGCGGUCGUCGCCCGACCCGUCUUCGAGGCGCAGCCACCGCCUCGCUGCCGCGUCCGUACCGGCGCCAGUGCCACUGGAGGGGCGCCUGGACGACAUGGAGGUGGAGCCGGUGCCCGCAGCGGCGGGCCCGGAGCCGCGCGGUGGUAGCGGCGGCCGCUGGCGCACCACAGCCCAGCGGUCGCCGCCGUCCCCGCGGCUCCCGUCGCCCGACCCGUCAUUGCGGCGCAGCCGCCGCUCAGCACAAGCGCCGGUACAAACCAGCGCAGCUGCCGCAGGCGGGGCGUCCGUCUUCGCCUCCGCCGCCAGCGCGCUCCGGCAAGGCUUGACGAGGCCGGCGGAAGGCAGCCGUGGCGCCGGCGGUACCCGAGCCACUGCCGGCGGCGGUUGUGCCGCCUGUGCUCCCACCGCUGCCGCCGCUUCUGCCGCGCCGCCCCUUCCGCCGGCGCCGCCGCUUCCGCCAGCGCCGCUGCUUCCACUGCCACCGCCGCUGCCGCCGCCACCGCCGCUCCCGGGGGCACCACCACUUCCACCGCCUCCUGGCGGUGCCGGCGGGCCUGCCGCCAUGUUGGUGGAUCCUCGUCGGCUUUGGGGCGGCGCAGCCCUCAGAAGGCCGACGGCCUCGAUGAGGCCCCUGUCGCCAAGCGCGCGGACACCCGCGCCAUCGGGGCCGUGGGCUCUGGCCUGCGGGCUGGCUUCCUGUUGCCGCCGGCUGGGCGGCGGCUGGCGCCUGGCUGGCGCCUUCGGUGGCUGGAGCGGAUGGCCGCGCUGCUGGGCGUGCGGGCAGCUCCCUGCUGCAGGAGGCCAGUCUGGCGGUGGUGGUGGCGAGCCCGGCGGUGGUGCUGGGGCGGUGGGCGUGGGCCCGGACCCUGAUAUGGGUGGUGGCGAGUGCGACUACGGGACCAUCCUGUCCGCGGCGGACGUCGUGGCCUUGCUGGCUGACCACGAUGAGGCCCCCAGCCCCGGCACUACCUUUGAGGCGGUCUUGCAACAGGCGCUUUGGGAUGCGAGUGAGCAGUUCGCGGUGUGCUGUCGUGGCACUGGGAGCGCUCUGAUCCUGAGGUCCCUCCGUGGGGACGUCCGCGCCUGGGAGCGGGAAUGGGUGGCAGACGGUGGCCCUCCCGUGUGCCCGCGGGGCCUGGUGCCGCAGCUGCUGAAGGUCGCGGCGCGCGCGGACGCAGAGUUGGUGCGGGCGCUCUGGGCGGGGCCUUUCUAGUGUGCUGUCCUGGUUUGGUGGCAUGUUCAUGCGUGUGCGCCUGCGUUUGUUCGUGCGCCGGCGGUUGUUCCUGUGCGGUAGCUGGUCUGCUUUGUUGUGGAGGUCGGUUGGCUGCUGCCUGUGUGCCCCGGUUUGCGUGGGGCCCGUCCCCCGGUUUGCUGCGGGUGGAGGCGUGUGUGACUGCGCGUGGUCGUGCGCCUGCUGUGGUUCCGGUGUUGUCGCUUUAGACUGCUUCGUUGCUGGGUCAGUUCGCGCGGCCGCUUGGUUCAGCGUGCGGGCGUGGCGGUCGGGUAGCUGCUGCCUGUGUUCCCUGGCCUGCUUGGGACCCGGGGCCCGGCUUGCAGUGUUUUGGUGCGGGGGGACGGCGCGCUGAUGUGCGUGUGCUGUGCCUGUGGAGGUUUCCCGUUCUCGAGGUGGGUCUCCUGUUCUCGAGGUGGGUCGGCUUUCUUUCCUUUUUUCCUUGCUCCGUCCCCCGCCUGUUCCUUGCUCUGUUCUGUGAGUUGAGUGGUUGCUUCACAUUUUUUGGGGGCCUGCCCUUGCUUUGCCCCGGAGGGGUGCCUGCUGGGGGUUUCGAUGGCUUGUGCGGUUGUCCCUGGUGUUCUGCUUGCCCGCUUUGCAGGUUGUGUGCCGUUGUGGUGCUGCGCCUUCCCCUUCCUUCUCCUUUGUAACCAUUCUCUCCGAAAACAAUCUGCCGCGUGGGGUGCCUCCGUGCCCCACCGCGCAUGGCAUGCAUCGCCCAUGCGGCCACGCCCCAUACCAUACGACCGGGAUGAGGCGUGCAGCCAUCGCGCUGUUGUUUUAGUUCCGCCGCCCGGCGCUGCAAUUGCCUUGCUUUCAUAUCGACUUAGUCCUAGUGCCCACAUCCGCUCCCCCUACGCCGCCUUAGGUCACCUCGUGCAACUCGCCGCAGCUUGCAGCCGCAGCCAGCAACCCUGCUCCCUCGAGCUCCGUAGCUGCAUGUGUGUGUGUGUGUGUGUGUGUGUGUGUGUGUGUGUGUGUGUGUGUGUGUGUGUGUGUUAAAUUACGAAACGAAAGCCCGCCCAGACGACGCCGGAGUUACUUACCGAUACCUACCAAUUUACCGAGCGUCGCGUGGUUGCCGUCACCCAGGUAGUCAUACUUACCCGCGAUAAGCCUGUAACCCCACGGGCGACCAUUCGGCCUGACCCCGCGAUGCACCUGUAUGCGUCCAUGCUCCGCACCCUGGGCGCGCUAAACAACGUUUACCCAGCACGCCUAAUUCCCAGAUUCCCGCCCGCUGGUCGUAGUCGAGCUCACCUAUAAGCAUGGGAAUGGAAAGGCAUUGGGCGGCAGCACAGAAGUGUCACGGACAUGUGAAAUGGCAGCGGUGGAAGAGGGCGGCGUGCAGCAAGCAAGCUAUCUAAUGUCCUAACACGCAUCCCAAAGCCCACCCACUUGUGUGUGUGUGUGUGUGUGUGUGUGUGUGUGUGUGUGUGUGUGUGUGUGUGUGUGUUAAACAAAAACAAACGGAACAAUUCCGCCAUACACGCGCGCGCAGUUACCAACAAAUACGUACGCCGGUUACCGAGCUCCGUGUUUGUCGAUGUUGCCCCAGUUGUCACCUUGAUUGACGAGUGUUGCGGGACUAAUGAGUAUACUCAGCCGCAUAUGGAACCCCCUACCCGGGCGUUUGGCAUUCAGCCUCGUCUCCGAGGUGCACCCGCAUGCGCUACAGCGUUUACCUUGUGUGUGUGUGUAUGUAUGUGUGUGUGUGUGUGUGUGUGUGUGUGUGUGUGUGUGUGUGUGUGUGUGUGUUUAAAAGGUGGUGCACACGACGUGCAUUCUUGUCCUUGUAGAAACCGAGGCCCGGGCCGGGGGGCCCUUACAACGCCUGCAAAACUCGUUAAUGAGCGAGGGAAAGUGUACUUGUUCGACUGUGCUACGUCAACUCCUAACAGCCCUAGGCUAGUCUAGGCGUCCUGGCACGAAAUGCCCGCUCCUCCCUUCCAUCGGGUCUUCAGCCCUGUUGCUGCUGCAUGUGCCUUGCUGCUGUCGCCUGCUCUGUUUAGAUCGUGUCCCUGCUUCCUACCGCUGUGUGUUACGCCCUCCUUGCCUCACCCCUUCCCGCACAUGUGGCGCCAGUGGCGUUGGUGUCUCCAGGUUGCUCUUGGGCGGCACGUAUCCCGGCGACUCCGGCGUCCACCCGCCAGCCGUUAGUAUCGCAUUGAACCAGUUUCACUCCGUUGGCAAGUGGCGACCCUCGACAGCCCGCAGCGUUUAUCGUUCACUCCCAGGUAACACGUAGACUCACAAUUUGCGCCAUUGACUGACUUCUUCCUCGUGUGCUGCCUGCUGGCUGCGACACCCUCUCCCGACACCGUGCGCAUUCGUCUUGAUAAAGCAUCUUCGGUGGAACGUGUUAGGGGGGGGGGCAAUUUGGGAGGGGGGGCGGAUCAGUUCAGGGCAGUUACGCUGGCGGGCGUGGGCUCAUGGUUCCACCCGCUGCGGUUGCUGCCGUCGCCCGCGCCGACCGGUAAUGUGAUGUAACAUUGCAGCACCUUUGGGCCGCUAGGCUCUGUGCACCAGCUUUCACAAGGUUGGCAGGACAGGGCUGACAGGGCAGGACCGGUACUGGUAUGUACCGGGCGCAAUGGGCUGCGGGCGUAGUGCAGCGCAAAACGAGGCGUGGCAGCGAGAUGCAACUACGAAUGUUACUUAUCCCCAAAGGCUUCCAAAACGCUAAUGGGUGGGGCUCGAUGGGGAUUCCCUGGUCGGGCAGUUGGGGUUCAACGGAGGACGGGAAUCGCUCGGGGUCGGGCUUGGGUUGUGGACACGCGUGGGCGGGAUGCAGGUGGCCUACUAGAAGCAUAUGGAACUGCAUAUCCAUGGUUUAUUGCACCACGGUUAAAUAAAACGCCCUUGCAACCGUCGCCGCUCCUAGCACGGCGUGGCGUUUUCCCGAUUUGCACAGCCUUUCCCAAAACAGCUCAUUUAGUGCCAUCAUUACAACUUAUGGCGAUUUAUGCCGAACCCUAAUCAUAUGAAAGCAAGAAUGCAAUUCAUAUGGGCCGCUCGAAGGCACGUUGACAACUCUCCCGCUGCGAUGACGGCGACAUUGCACACCUUAUUAUUCCACUAGUACACACCUUCUUCUUCUUCAUCCUAGCAAGAAUCACAGGGUCUGGCUGCGGGCAUGGGGAGCUUGGGCCAUGAAGCAGUCGCAGCGGCGCAGUUCCGUGCCGCUGAGUUGGCGAGGCGAACAGUGGUAAGUGGGGUUACUGGUCAGACAUGCCGGGAUGGCAUCGUGAGGUCGCCAUGGGAAUGGUUCUGGGCGCAAGCGGAGUCGCGGGUGCGUGGGGGACUGCGUGCCUGUGCCCGUGCACUCAAACGUCUGCCGUUGUUUUAUCUUGUCACGCUUUCCCCUCGACCUAUGCACCAGCCCGUUACGUUACUAUCUUGCGCGCCUCUGUAACUCUGAUGUACCAUGUUGCACAGGAAUACCAUAGUUCCCGCGAGGGUGAGCACCGCGCACGCGACCGCUUGGGCGGCCGCUUCACGCCCUACCCCUGGGCCGACGCGGCGGCGGCGGUGCUGGCAGAUGAGGUGCUCGAGGACGAGGAGCUGGUGGUGGCGCUGAUCCGGGAGCUGGGCAGGCAGGGUGAGGAGGGCCAGGGGCGCAGCGGCGCGGCCAGCUUCAAUGCGCUGGGCACCGACGGGGAGGUCAGCAGCAGACGGGCAAGGACGGGCAACUGGCGGCUGCCGGCAAAAGUCUGGUGGCAGUAGCUGCAGUAGGGGCAGUGUACAGCAGCGGCGGCAGAUGGGCAUACAACUAUGAAAGGAUCACCAGCGCAAAGUGCAUGGGAACUUGCGCGGAUCGCGCAGCUGGCAGCAGUAUCUUCCUUUCUAGCCCACCUCCCUCCGGCUCUUGCCUUCUCUCUUCUUCCCACCAGGCUGCUCUGAGGUGGCGGUGGCCGCACUGGACCUGGUGCUGUCACGUGCCGGGUCUGACGGGGACGGGGCCGGGGCCGGGCCGGGCGGUCUGCCGCCGAGCAAGGGGCUGUUCGACUCGGCGCUACUGGUGUGCGCGGCGGAGUACCAGGUGGGUUGGGCGGGGGCGGGUCAGGCCGGUGCCCUGUGCCAGGGGCCAAGGGGCCGGUAUCAGCCGCGGACCACUUGCAGCCGCUGGCCGCGCCCUGCCUGGGGCCAUUGGGCCAUCCAUCUGGUUGUAAUCCGCUUGCUCGAACGGCGCCGUGCGCCGUCGGGCCCUUUCACACUGUUCUUGGUUCCGUUUGCUUACGGACCGAAACAUCUGCCCCUACCCCCUGCCCACCCCCUCACGCCCGCAGGAUGAGCGUUGUGUGGCCCUGUACCGGCGCAUGCGGCAGGCGGGGCUGGCGGCGGACGUGGGGUCACUCAACCUGGCGCUGACAGGGCUGUGCUGCCGGGGACGGCUGGAGGAGGCGGUGGAGCUGCUGGAGCAGGAGGUGGAGGACAGCGGCGGCGUCAUCAAGCCCAACAGCUUCACAGUGCUCAUGAUACUGCAGGUGUGUGUAGUUGGAGGGACAAGUGUACGGCAUGGACGGAAUACUGUGUGUGUGUGCGUGUGUGCAGGUGUAUGGGAGUUGCGGGGCAAGAGGUGCUGCCAUGAAAGCAGCAAAGCCAUGCGUCAUGCCUCCCCUUCCAGCUACCUGCACGCAACAGCCUCUCAGCUGCUUCUCGGACGCCAAGUCGUUCGUAGGCGCUGCUGCGCCUCCAAACCCUACUCUGAAGCUAGCCCUGGGACCUAAAGCGAUGAUUUUGCUCGUGGUGCUUGCUGUAAAUCGCAGGCGUGCAACUACAAGCGGCGAGGUGCCUACCGGGAAGCCAUCGACGCCGUGCGGGUGCGGUCAGCAUAUACAUAUCUGUGUACGUCCUUGCUCCCACGGCCCACCUCACGUUCGCCCUUCGCAGAGCCCAGCGACUUAUCCCCCGCCCCCCCACCCGCCCUCACCCCCUUGUCUCCCCCACCCCCCGCCUGCCGCCUGCAGGCUCUAGAGUCGUGGGGGCGGCCCGCCAACGAGGAGGUGGUGGAGGCGCUGCUGUGUGUGUGCGAGGCUGCCAUGCACAAGGCGCCCAGCUUCGAGGCGGCGGUGGAGGUGUUCAGCGCGCUGGCGGAGUUGCAGCUGGCGGACAGCACACGCGUCUACAACGGACUGCUGGGCGCGGCGGGGCGGGCCGGCAGGUGGCGAGAGGCACAGGUGCGGGUGCGGGGUGCAGGGUGCGGAAUGUGGGGUGCGCGGCUCAAGUGGAGUCGGCAGCAAGUGUGGGAUUGUCUUUGCCACUUUGGUGGCGUUGUGUGCCGUCGUCAUGUGUGUAUCUCUGCACUACACUGAAGUUCUGCACUGUAGCUACUAUACAGUUAGAAUUCAGUAAAUUCCUUCCUCCCUUGCUCUUCCCCUGGUUAUGCCACACGCUCGUGUGUCUGCCCCACGCCAGGCGCUGUACAUUGCGAUGCAGGCGGACGACAUCCCCGCCAGCCUGGAGACACACACAGCCCUCAUCCAGGUGCGUGUGCGUGUGCGUGUGCGGCCCUAUGCACGUGGGGGCACUGGGGGGCAGUGGGGCGGGGCAGCCAGCCUUGCAGCCAGGUGGGGCUGGGAAGGACAAGUGGGAAGACGCAGGCCGUUGGUGAGGCGCAAGUGCGCAUGCUCACACGGUCUGCCUGGCUGCUUGGCCUUCCCUCCUUGCCUUCCUCUUCCUGUCAGGCGUGUGUGGUGGGCCGGGCUCUGGACCACGCACUAGACAUAUUCGAGUUCCUGGUGGCGGGCCGCGCCGCGCACGAGCUGGUGCCGGCGUCCAUCCAGACCUACAACCACCUCAUUCAUGCCUGCCACCAGGUGGGGCGGGGCGGGGCGGGCUGGCGCGAAGUGUGAAGCGAGUGAGGGCAUUGGUUGCACGAAGCACGUGUUGCCGCGGGUCUCUUGCCCAACAAUACGCCCCCCGCCGCUGCCGCCGCCGCCACCACCUACUCCCGCCCUCACUAGGCCGGCAUGCUGGAGAAGGCCCUGGAGAUCGCGGCCUGGGUUCAGAAGACGGGUGUGGAGUUCAACGACGAGACGUACGAGGAGCUGAUGGCCACCAUUGAGGUGGCGCAGCUGUGGGAUGAGAAGGCCAUGAAGCAGGUGUUGAUGUGUGGGGGAGAGGCCAGUCGUGUGGGCAUCAGAGUAUGCGCAUUGGGCAAGGGGCUAAUAUGCCCGGGCCCAACGAGUAGGUGCGGAUGCCGGAUGGUGUCGGGGUGACACCAGCCCAUGCACAACCUGCCACGUAUGCGCGCGAGUCUGCGAAAGCUGUCACGAGGUGCGCUGCAGCUCCCAACCCCACUGUUUCACUCCCAUUUCGCCGUAACGGCUACCCUCCUGGCCGUCCUGCCCCUGCCCCCCCACCCGCAACCGCGCAGGCCCUGAAGCGCCACCCGGCUGUGCUGCCCAAGCACCUCCGGCCCGCGCCCUAUGACGCCAUGCGGGUGCUGUACCUGGACCACCUGGAGGUAGGGGGGGGGGGAGGGCAGGAGGGGGCGGUUAGUUUAGUCCAAUCCCAACUAGGCCAACACCCAGAGGAAGAGCGGGGAUGUUACUUAAACUCAAGGCUAUGCCAGUAAGGUCGACACUAUGGGCAUAGGAGGGGGCGUUGGCGUGUGUUGUCAGUGCGCGGUGGGGCACUGUCGUCGACCCCACCCCUUGGGCGCGCUCAUGCUCGGCGGAACGUCUCUGUCGGGCCCUGUGCUGUGUGUAGUUCGGCGCCCUAACCCCUCCGGCCCAGUCCUCCCCACCGCCCCCUGUCCGCGUCCACACACCCCCGCAGACUCUGCAGCAGGAGGAGCUGCUGGCGCUGGAAAAGCUGGGCACACUGGGCAGCUGGGCGCCCAAGUCGCUCACCAAGGGCCUCAUGGGCGAGCAGCACGAGCAGAUGAUGCGCGAGCAGCAGCAGGCGGCGGGCGCGGGCGCGGGUGCCGGCGGCAACUGGACGGCCUCGGCAGAGGCCUCCAGCUGGCGCGGGGCUGGCGGGCUCGGUCUGGAUGCGGAGGCGUCCACUGCCUCGGUCUCGGUCUCGGCCCCGGGUCCGCCGCUGUCGUAUCGGGACAUGGCCGCAGCCAUGCGCGCGUCCAUGCCCGCUCUGGCUUUUGGGGGCGGUGGCGGUGGCGGCGGCGGCGGCGGCGGUGGCGCGGCGACGGCGCUGGCGGCCGUGUCAGGCGUCGUCGGGCUGGGCGGCGAGUCGUCUGUUAGCUCCCUGGCAGGCGGUGGCGGUCCGCCGGCGGGCGCCCCCUCCAUGCGGCAGCUGCUGACCAGCAUGUCCAUGAAGCGGAUAGCGGGCGGCGGCAAUGGCGGCCCGGGGGCAGGGUCAGCGUCGACGGCGCUGUCGUUCAGGUGGGGGGGGGUGUCCAUGAAUGACGCGGGGGUUAGUAGUUCAUGCGGAACGGGUUAGCUACCGUAUUCAUGCGAACGGGAGGGCGAUAGGAAAAGGCAGACAAGGUGGGUCAGCCGCGAGUGAAGCGGUUGUGAGUGCACGGGGUUUUGAAUCUGGAGGCCACUCCAGUUUCUGCUGGCCUCUAACGCUCUGCCAAUUUCGCUGGUACUGCACAUUGGAAACCCCUGCAGAGCACCUGGCAUGCGGAGUCUGCUAGGCGCAGCAGGAGCAGCUGUGCCAGACUCACCUACUGCCUCCUCAGCCGCCGCCAGUGCCUCCUCUCCCGCCGGCGCAGCGGCAACAGUAAGCUCGCAGCAGCUGGGAGCGGGCGGCGGCGGCUCCGAACCUGCACCCACCGGCUUUAACCAGCCGCCCACGUGGGCGCAGGUGCAGGUGGCGGACGCGGCCACCGCGGGCCCCGGCGGCACGCCCUUUGUGACGCCUCAGGCGGCGUCAGUGCGGGCCUCGGCGGCGGGCACCGUGCCGCCGCUGUCGCUGGGGUCGGGCCUGGCGCUGGCGGUGGAGCCCGCCAACCUGCAGGGACAGCCCUCGGCCGGAUCGCUGGGCGGCACACCCCGCGUGUCGGCGCGCGGGGUGGCGUCGAGCAGGGCAAGGCCUGUGCCGCCGCCGGUCGCAACCGCGGGAUCAGUGGGUGCCGGCGGACUGCCGGCAGUGGCCGGGGCGGGCCAGGGUGGCGGCAUUCAUGCGAGUGCUGGUCUGCUGCCGCUGGCGGACGCGGGCCCAGCGCUGGGCAGCCCGCGGGGUGCGGGCGGGCCACUGCCGGCUGCGGCAGGCAGUCGGUUGCGGGCGCUCAAUCCCAGUCUUCAAGUGGCGGUGGGCGGCCCGGUGUCGCAUGACUUCCUGCCAUCACCUUUGCCCACUAUGCCACCCACCUCAUUGGGCGCCGGCAGCGGGCGGCGGCCGGGCGGUUUGCGGUGACCGGCGGUCAGUGACGCCGGCUGUUGAGCACGGAUGGCAGUGUUCGGCACCAGAACUUUGUAUCAGUAGCAUGGCGGAUUAACCGAUCGUCGCUGUUAUAAGCUUGUGGUCUGAUGACGGCGCGAAGUAUGCAGGUGUUUAGAAGACUCUGGGGGAGGCUAUUGAGCUGAGCAGGGGUGAUGGGAUGAAGAUGCGUGGCCCAUUGCAUCGACCAAUGCACUCCUAUCUUACUGUAAGCUGACAGCAACAAACCGUCUUGCCACCUAAAGACAGGCACACGUCUCUCUGCAAGUCGCCCACAAAUUUGCUGAGUGCACUGUUAAUUAUGAAGCACUGAAGUGCAUCGACAACUUCAUCACGUUGAGUGUAAAAGUUUCAGUAGUCUAUAGCAAACAAAAUGGCCGAGCAGGGCGCAGCGAAUAGCCUUGUUGCGGAGCUCCUUGCUGGCGGGCGCGCUAAGGCGAACCAUGUCGUAAAACUUAUUGCUAUGAUACAGAACUGCAAGAUGGAGGUAAACGCCGAGUGACAAGCUGGCCGCCCGAUGGCCAUGGCGGCCUCGCCGGGUGAAGUGCAUAGGUGGCCAGCUGAGAGCGCAAUUGUGAGAGAGUGGACCGUAAAAAGUGAUAGGGGCUAGCAGACGACCGGCACGGCGCUCGCCGGCCAGGGUCCUCGGCGCGGGUUAAGCUGUAUCGUCCCCGCUUCCCCGGGCCAUCCAUUUCAGGCUGCGCUGAAGACGGCGAUACAAGGUCUGAAGCAGUUCUUCGUGGCUGCGGGCCAGGACGGCCACCUGGCGGGCUCCGUGGGCUCAACAGCGGUUGGCAGCCGGCCGGCGAAGCGGCAGAAGGUACGCUGCACCGCUUGCCUGCCUGGCGCACAUGCGCCUAAUGCACCGCGGAUGCUUGGCUGCUGGCCUGCCGACCAACUGCACCAUGGACGCUCACUACCGCCACGCCACGCCGCAGGUUGACUCGCAGGAACCGCAGCCGGACGCGGCCCCCGAUGCCGAGGCGCAGUACCGCCAGUGGCUGGGCCGGCAGUACGCCGCCUUUGUGGGUCAGAUGCUGGCGCUGACCACUGGUUCCCCGCUGCCGUCUGCAGCUGGUGGCGAGGCAGCAGCAGCAGCAGCAGCAGCUGCAGGCAGCGAGGCGGGCGUCAGGAAGGCAUUGCUGCAGCGCACCGCGGGCGUGCAGGUGGUGGCGGCGGCCGCGCUGAUGGAGUGUGUGCGCAGCGAGCUGGGUCCAGGCGGCUUCAGCGGGCGGCUGUACGGGCGGCUGCUGAGCGGCGUGCUGACGGGGCCGGGCGUGCGGCCGGAGGUGUUCGCGCUGCUGUUCAACAAGUACCUGGCAUUGGCGGGUAAGCGGGCGUGAGGGGGCUUGGGGAUAGGGUGGGGUGGGGGGCUUUUACCAGGUCAGGGGACAUAAUGGGACACUUAGACGCAGCCGCGCGUAUAUCAGGGGGAGUAAUGUGUGGCAUGUGCGGCAGGGGCUGGAGGAGGUGGGGAUAAGGAGGGCAGGCAUUAUGUAUGAAUGGGCUCGCGUUGUGGAUGUCCGCACACAUGGCGGCUAGUUGCAGCUUGUACCGCUUGAAUGUGCUGCUGGGCACUGCACACUGGGAGCAAUCUUUGACACGACCGCAUACUACCCGGCACUGCCCUGCGGCAUCCACGCUGCAGAUGUGCGCUUCUACACGCUCGCGACCGUGCGGGCGGUAGCGGUGAAGUACAGCAGCGGGGCGGCGGUGCCGCGGGCAGGCGGCGCCAUGGAGGGCGAGGACCAGCAGGAGGCUGCGGACGUGGAGGCGCUGGCGGCAGUAGCAGCUGAGGUGGCAGCAGGUGGGUGAGACCAGUGCUCAGGUGUAACCGUUAGCCGUGCAUUACGGCACACUCUAGUUGCUGCACAGACGCGCGAGGUGAGCCGCUAGCAUGCAGGAAGCGUGUUACUGACGCGAACUGCUGCCUCGGGGCUAUUCAACAUCAUUUGGAGCUCAUGACCGCCUUUUCGUCAUGAUUGACCUCUGUGCCAUUGCAGGGGCCGGCUCAAAUGGAGCUGCCGCUGGGUCUGCUGGGCCGGGGCCUGAGUCCGUGUUGCCGCUGCCGGAUCUGACCCGCAACCUGUUGGACGUGCUGGGCCACUGCGAGGCCCAGCUGCCCGCCGACCCCACCGCCUGGAACACCUGGUGCGGCGCCGCCGAGGUAGGGAGCGGGCGUGUGUUUUGGGGGGGUGGGGUUGUAGAUACCAGCCCAAACUAAAUCAAACCCAAUGCAAUAGAGCGAGGAGGAGAGCGUGGCCGAUGCUUGACAACGGAGUGUCACGCGACAACAGGGGUUUGAGCAUCGGGGAUGAAGGUUGCAGACACGACGAGUGCACCGAUGGUGGAAAUGAGCAGGCGCAGCACUGUGCGGACUGUAGACCGGUGGCUUCAUGGGUGCCUGCGACUGCGAGGCCCCAGCAGUUGUACCCCCGAUGGUGGGCCCUUGUACCCAUGUUUGCGUAGUACAUAGUACGCGUACUACGUACUGUACUACAUACAAUUGCAGCUUGCAAGUUGUUUGACAUAUCUGUGCGGCUGUGUACCGCGUUACCGCGCCCGCCAGCCCCUUCAGCCGCCCGCAACCUCUGCCGUACCAACACCAACAUGGAUCCAGUGACACGUUCUGUGGAAUAAACCGUCGUGCCACGUCGACAAUAUGCAUGUGUGUAUCUGCACACCAGUAUCGGGGCUUGUAGGGCGCUUUUGGCGGCAUGGGCAUAUGUCCACGUGACAUAUGUCGCAUGUCACACGUUGACAUGUUGCAACCUGACCAGUGCCAAACAACUUGCAAGCUGCUAUAGUAUGCUGCCCUGAUGGGCUAGUACGCUUGUAGUAUACGUUGUGCUGGGAGUAUAGGGCGGGGGUGGGGGUGGCGGGGUCGCCACAGCAGGCAACGGUUGCUGGAAAGGAUGUCGGUCGAAGUUCGCUGACCAUGGCUGCUUUCAGGACCUCAGCUGUGUUUCUUAUAACAAUACGAGUGUAAAAAGCUGCAGGAAAUUCCGCCAGAAGAUUAUAGGCAGCGCAAAUUGAAGUGUACAUCGAUUCGGGCACGCCGCGGGCACAUGCGUCGGGCUUUCCCCCCGGACUUCGCGACCCCGCGUACUGCGCAACGUAAAUGCCAAGUACGCUGUAUUACGCGUAUUAUGGAGAGAUGGUGACGUACUAUGCAACCCUUGUUUUAACGUACUGCGUUAGUGGCAGGGAGAUUUUUGUUGGAAAGGGAAUGGGAGGCAAGCAGGCGGGUAGUAAUGCGUUUCUGAGGCGCUGUGCUCUUGGUACGAAACGACCAGACUCCUGACUUCUGACCCCUUUGGCUGCCUGUUGCCCCGUGCCGCAGUUCAACCUGGUGGCGGCGGCCGCGGAUCGCAACGAGUCCGCCCGGCUGCGGCGGAAGCGCAAGGAGCAGGAGCAGAAGGAGGCGGGCGGCCAGGCGGCGGCGCAGGCGGCGGCGGGGCUGCGCAAGGUGGUGUGGGCCAACGCCAAGACUCAGAAGCGCUUCUACAGGUGUGUAUGGGCGCGGACUGAGCUGUGCGACCCCACAUAGCCUAUGACAUGUGGAUCCGAUCCCGGCACUGACAGUUACCUCUCCCUCUCCCCGCUGCUGCCCCGGCUCCUCUGCCUGCCGUGACAGUGACGCCUGGCUGGCGCUGCUGGCGCUGCCGCUGCCGUCCGACGUGCUGCGCAAGGCGCUGGUGCGACUGCCUGGCUCCGUUAUCCCGCACAUGCUGGGCCCUCAGCUCCUGGCGGACUUCCUCACGCACUGCCUCAACCGGGGCGGGCUGACCGGCAUGCUGGCGCUCAACGGCCUCUUCCUGCUGGUGGGUCUGGAGCUUGGGCCCACUCCUGGUCGCGCACCCGUCAUGUAUUCAUUGCUGCCAUGAUGCCACGUGUCGCCACGUGCGGCUGCAGGUGACACGCCACGGGCUGGAGUACCCGCAGUUCUUUGCGCGCCUGUACCAGCUGCUGGUGCCCGAGGUGGGCACACACUGUUUGUGCUGUGUUGGUGUUGUGUAUGCAGUGUUGUGCACUGUGUGUAAAAGCGUACUGUGUGGAGCUGGGGGACUGUGAUUACCGUAGUCUGAGUGGUUUGCCGCAGGAUGAGGACGGCGCUGGGGUCAAGAUCCAGUGCUGAGCUAGCGGUUAAUAGGCUGCAACCUUGACCUCACCUCGUGCAAGUGGACGUCGCCCUGCCUGUCACUCUUCAGCCCGCUCACCUCCCCUUGCCCCGUUGCCCUGUCCCUGUCCUUCAGGCCUUCGCCAGCCGCAACCGCGCCCAGUUCUUUCGCCUGGCUGACCUGUUCCUGUCCUCCAGCCUGGUGCCCGCCUACACGGUGGCUGCCUUCGUGAAGCGCUUCGCCCGCCUGGCGCUAGCGGCGCCGCCCCCCGGCGCCAUGGUGGCCAUCGCCUUCAUCCACAACCUGGUGCGCCGCCACCCCGCACUGGCAGUCAUGCUGCACAACCCCCAGGCGGCAGCAGCGGCCGAGGGCAGGGGCGGGGCCGGUGACAAGAGGCAGGCAGGCGGCAAGCAGGCGGCGGCGGGUGUGGACGUGUACGACGAGGCGGAGCCUGACCCCGCCAGGAGCCGGGCGGUCGAGAGCUCGCUGUGGGAGGUGGAGGCGCUGCGCAACCACUACUGCCCGCAGGUGCGGAGGGGUUCAGGACACGUGUAACCGGCUAGAUAUAUAGGCUGGGGAUGCUGGUGUGAACUUUGGAGGCGGGGGGAAUGAUUGAAAAGCCAAGGCGCCUGCACGAGCAUCGUGUGGGCCAGAUGUUGCCGUUUCGUCUCCCUGGGGUCCUGGUGGGAUAGCUGUCAUGCCAUUGACCAGCGCGCACAUGUGUGCAUUGGCAUUUGGCAUGCAAGUGUAUUUGGCUCUCCCUGAGUCUUCUGUAUCUUGAGCUACGUGGCUUCAGGUGUCCACCUUCUGCGCUGUGCUGGACAAGGACCUCACCGACCGCACAAAGACCGCUGAGGUCAACCUGGAGGACCUGCUGGGGGCGGCCGGCCGCGACGCGCCGGGCGGUGCCGCCGGCUCCUACAACGCGCUCAUACGUGGCGAGCUGGCAAGGAAGCUGCGGCACGUGCCCACCGCAUUCUACGGCUUGGGCCAGGCGCCUACGUGCCUUUUCGGCAUCGGUGUGGCGGAUGACUUCGCGGGUGUGGCGAUGACCAGCGGCGUGACUUCUUGCUAAGACUGUCGUUUGUGUGGUUGUAUUGAAGUAGAAACUGCUUGCGGUGAUGCGACUGGCCAGUUUUGAUGAACGCACAUGCGCAUGUCAAAGCUAUGGUUGGGGACUGUAUCCGAGCCCAGACUUUUGGCACUCCUUGCCCGGAUCAUAUAUCAUACUUAGGUAGUUUGAGUUGCCCCUGUCGUGCGUGGGGUUGCAGCCUGGCAAGCCGAAACUACACACACAAGUGACCGACAUCAUCCGGUCGCUCUGUGGGCCCUCAUCCGGUCGCUCGGGCUUGUUCGCUAUUAUUGGCCCGAAAGUUUGUGACACACCUAAAACUGUUUUCGAAGAUUUAACCGUUCGUGCUACUAGGGGUCUUGGGAUACAGCUCGCCCGAGAUCGCUCGCACAUUUAGUGUCUUACCGCGCGCGUCUCCGGAGCUUGCUUAAGGUCUGUGUGGCGUUCAUGCCAUGGCAGCUGAGCCAGACGCUGAUUGGGAGGAGCUUGCUUCAACCGGGCUGCCUGGCUUGAGCAUAUCGGACCGUCCGGCCGCAGCAGCUCAAGCGCAGCCUCAGUCACAGGGAUAUGGCGAUGGCGGUGGUAGCGACGUGUAAGUCGGGAGAGCGCAGUUUUCCCGGCAUCUCUGGCAUGCCGCUCUUGCCAUUCACUCCGAGACCGUGUGCUUUUCACAGGGCCAAACCUGCCACGCCGCCUCAUGUGGAUGGCUUGUCACAUCAGCAAGGGGCGCCGCACCAGCCCAGCGCCGAGGUCGAGCCAGUGGACGCUGCGGUGCGACAGGCGCUGGCCGACCCAGCCCAGCGCCAAACAGGUCCGAAAUCGGCGCAAAUAUUACCAUGUAUUCAUGGCGCUAACAUAUAAUCGAUCCAUGCAGUUCUCAAGUGCGAAGAGCUAAUCGAGAAGUUCCUCGCCGACCCGGUCGCGGAGACGCUGCAGUUCCCAGCAGCCUUCUCAAGCUACCAGGUGCGUCGCUGCAGCGCUUCUUGAUUGCGCACGCACGAUCAUAUUCCCUUAACUAUUUCUACUCGUAGCGCAUGCUGGCGCACCGGGUCGGUCAAUACUACGGCUUGCAAACGAGCACCGUCGACUACGAGGAGUCCCAGGGGCGCGUUCUUGGCAUUCGAACAGCACAUUGUCACGUGCCCAAGGUGAGUUGGAUGCGUGCCAAAGCCAGCGCGCCAACCUGGGCGGCUAGAUUGAUGACCAUGCCCCCGACCAACGCAAAACCUUCACUCCUUGACCUGGUCACUUGCAGCCGCGGCUGCGCGAAAUGGAUUUGCGAGCAGAGGCCAUGGCGCUCAGGCACGGUCAGAGUCUGAACGGGCUGGGUGGUGGGCCGGGUUUCUCGGCCGCUGCACCUGACCACGGCCCUAAGCCGCGGCUCUUGCGGCGUCAGGACGAUGACCGCGUGGCCCAAAGCAGCUCGGAGCACUCGCUGAACCAGUCGCCGGCACGCACGUUAAAGGAGCGGCAGGAGAAUUAUUCCAAGUACCGCGAGGAGCUGGGGCUGGGCGAGGGGCUUGGGCCUGGGCGGGGCCCGGGCCGGGGCAGCUACGGCGGCCGCGGCGGCUAUGGCUCCGGCCCUCGUGGCGGCGGCAUGGAGGGCGGCAUGGGCAUGGGCAUGGGUCGCGGCGGCGGACGCAAAGCGGUGUUCCGGGACAAGGACCGCGACCUGAGCGACCCCGACUACCGCCGCGGCAUGGGCAGGUGGGAGCAGAGCACAGGGCAGUGCUGGUGGCACGCAGAGCGAUGGGGCAGAGUCCAUGUGCUAACAGGGGGUAUCUUUCGCUCCUACUGUGGGCGUCCCUAGCAAGUUCUGGCAGGGCGCACAUUAGCCAUGGUUUCCUCAAUUUGGCAAUGGCCAAUCGGUUGUGCGCAGGUUCAGCGGCACGGCCCGUUUCGAUCCCUCCGCCGCCGCUACCGUUCCGGCCGGUGGUAUCUACCAGGUCCCCACUUACUCCACGGAGGUAAACAGGGCGGCAGCGGGCUUGUUGCAGUUUUCAGGCGCAGGGGAAUCCCCGGCUGCUGCGCCAUUGCAUCGCAGCCCUGUGUGCCGCCGCCGUGUGGGUUAAUCCGGGUUAGUGUCAAUCUUUUGUACACCUGACCUAUACCGUACCUGUAUUGUGCUUUUCAAUGGGAUUGCCCACACAGUUUCCCACGCUCAACCGCAUGGCUGGUCAGGGGCCCGGUGCGGCACCCAUGCAGGCUGGGCGGUCCAUGAUGCAAGCCGGUGGCCAGGUCCAGAACGCCGUACUGAUGAGUCCUGCGGCGCCACAGAUGGGCAUGGGGGGUGUCGCCGGCGGUAUGGGCCAGGCCCCGCACCAAAUGCAAGUGCAGGCGGGGCCAUCCGUCGGGCAGUGGAGCCAGGUCUCCCAGCACCAGGCACAGCAGCAACAGCAACAGCAGGUGCAACAGCAGGUGCAACAGCAGGUGCAACAGCAACAGCAGGCUCAACCACAGCAGCAGGGGCGUGGAGGCAUGCGACCACCACCGCCGCCACCGCCGCCGCACAGUCACGGCAAUGUGGCGCCUGGCGCCGGCGUGGGCGGCGGGAUGGGGAAGGGUAGCCACCAGCAGUAUGGCGGCGGUGGCUCCAUGGGUGGCCGGAGCCAGCAGCAACAGCAACAGCAGAUGCAGCAACAGCAGCAACAACAGCUCAUUGCUGGUCAGGCGAACAUGCAGCAGGCGCAGCAGCAGCAACAGUUCAGCCAUGCCAUUGCCGCAGCGCCGUACGGCACCAUGAGUGGGCAGUACGGGGUGCCCAUGACGGUCACGCCCGCUGGCUUCAUGUCGGCGGCCUCGCCCCACGCGGGGCAGCCUGUGUUUGGCAUGACCACAUCUGGCGGCGCGCUGCCGGCUGGGACCACCGUGUAUGCGGCGGCACCUGCCCCGGGCGUGGGCGGCACCGCCUUCUACCCCGCUGCUGGCAUGAGUCCCAUGGGCGCCAUGGGCAUGGGCACUGUGAGCAUGGCGGUGCCGGCGGGGGGCGCCUACGGCUAUAUGACGGCGGCGCCUGGUCCCGGCAUGGGCGCCAUGCAGGUGGCCACCUCGGGCGGGGAGGCCAUUGCGCUGACGCCGCAGGGUGCCGUGGGGGUGCAGUACCCCGUGUACGCCUACAACCCGGCCGGCACCGCGGUGUACCCGGCCGCCGGGGUCACAACCACCCAAAUCCAGGGUGCGGCUGGGGCGGCGCAGAUCCCGAUGCGGCCCGUGUACGGUGUGCCCACCUUCUACCAGCAGUACGACCCCUCGCAGUACACUGCCAUACAGCAACAGCAACAGCAGACCGGCGGCAUGCAGAGCAUGGGCCAGGGCAUGCACGGCAUGGGCAGCGCCGGUGACGGGCGCGGCUACGGUGGCGGCUACGGCAGUGGCGGCGGCGUCCACCACCAGCAUCAGCAACAGCAACAGCAGCACCACGCAGGUAGCGGCGGCGGCUAUGGAAGCCACCACCACGGCGGCAGUGGCAUGGGCCAUGGCGGCGGCGGGCGGCACCGGGACUCGGACAACGGUGGCGGGCAGGACCUGAAGUGACAUGGCCUGUGCGGAUGGCCGCCUGGAGCGCUCGCGUCAUUUUUGUUAAGCUCCAGCUAACUGCGGGGCUGAAGGCUAAGCUGCUCUUGGACGCGGAUGCCGAUGCCGCGGUGCGAUGCUUCCUGUUGUGGGUACCCCGGGGGCGGGUGAUGCUACAUUGGCAAGCAGCACGCCCUCUGAGUAAGCCCGACGCGCUUAGAAGCACGCGGUUAAUCAAGGAAAUCCAACCAUUACAAAUGAAGCUGUCAAUGUGAUGUGGCUAAGCUAAUUGGCCUUCCUGAGAACUGGCUUCACUUCGCUGCAUCAGCCCACCCCUUGUGGGCGCGUCCUGCUCGCAGCCUGGCUGAUUUUAUCAGAACAUAUGCGGCCGUUUUGCUGCUUGUUGUUGGCGCGCAAACGUGGGUGUGUGUGGCGUGGCAGUCUAGCCAUGUGAAGGUAGGAGUCGUGUCUGGGAUGUAACCGGCUUCCUAUGCUCAGCGAAAGGUGGUACUGAUGCAUUUGGGGCUUUAAUCCUGUCUGCCGGGCUCCCGGUACGGGCGUACACCCGCACUGGCGUAAGUUUGCGCUGCGUAGCUUAGCUCGAAAUGUGUGGCGCGCAAUGUCACGUUCGGCAAGCGCGUCGUGUAUGGCCAAGAUGGCUGGGCUUGUGACGCCAUCAAGAGCCCAUCAGCAUCUCUUCAUCCGUGGGCCUAGUGGUGCCGGGCGACAAUGCUUGAGCAUGUGCGUGAGGUGCGUGUCGUCUGUCUGUAACGUCACUUGGGGGCCUUGUGUGUCUAGUGAGUGUGCGUGUAGGUGUAUUGGCGGCGUGUGACCGUUUAUGUGUUCAGGUGUGAUGGGGGUUAUCAAAUGUGCACAGCUUGGAGUGUGUGGCUAUCAAGAGUGAAUUGCUGGUUGUGGGCGCGAUGAGCGCGUGAGUACCGUAUAUGCUGCGUUGGCGUGGUGGAGUGUGUGGCGGGCGUCUGUCCAGUAUGUGUACUGCGCGGUGCGAAUGGGGGUUAUAAUUUCGUUUGACCGGUCGACAGUGCACCUGCCACGAUGCCUGCCCUCGGUACGGGAUGGUUCGUGGCAGCGGUGGGUGGUGAACAAAUGGCGGCCUGGCAGGGGAUGUGGGUGGGUGGCACGGUAAUGCGUGUAUUGGGAGAGUAAGUUGCGACUGCAUCAGAGUGCAGAGGUCGUGAGCGUUGUGUGGGAGCCAGCGGAGCAUCAGCGCGCGCCAACUGGCGGAGGAGGACUAGGAUGUACGUGGAUGUCGGACGUGCGCAAGAGGGGUUUGGCUCGGGGCAUCUACUGGCGCGUGUCGGCGCACAGCAGCCAGGGAUCCACGGGGCAAGUUGGCGAGGGCUCGCAGUACAGUGGUGAAGGCGUUGAGACGGAGUGCGGCCAGGCGCCGGUGCAACACGUGAACUGGGCUGCAAUAGAUCAGACUUGCGGUAGAGAAGCAACUUAAUUCUUCCGAUUAUUCACGCCGGGGUGUCCGAAGUGGUCUUGCGAGUGUUUGACGCAGUCCUGCUGCUGUGAGCGGCGGGAGCUGUAAUUACACAGCCCCGCCCUCCCCGCCAGCGAUUAGAGGCUUACUUCACAUCACGUCACAUCAGCCUGCCCACGAAACGUUCUGCCGGCCCACGAAACCGACACCAAACAAUUUUAGGCACUGUAUGGGUGCACGUGCUGCAACCAUAAGGCGGUCCGUUCACUGAAUUGUAGCCGCUCCGUGCGGGUGGGGCACGGCGCCUUGACUGGAUGCGGGAUGAUGUGUUACGGGAUUGGGAGUGUGCGCUCCUUCUCCACGUAACGCGACUACCCGAGCCCCGAGGGCUCCUCGUCCCACCGCCCACCGGUCUGACCCAGUGUUUCAUGCACACGCCGUGUUGAAGUACUCGACCUCAGAAGCCUAGAGGGAUGACACGCCCCCUCCAUCAGGACCUUGAAGUUAGCGGAGCGAGCUCCGGCUGAUCUGGGUGCAGUUAACCCGCUCGGGAGGGGUAGCGGGCCUCACCGCAGGUGGGUCCGGGGCUAAUCCAGGCUAGCCGGCGACCCGCUGGGCUUUGCAGCCGUUCUCACCCAAGCUUUGCAGCCGUUGCCUUAAAGUUAACCCACGGCUAACCCACUGGAGCUGGAUGAGAGCGGCCAAAACCGCGAGUGUCAUCCACGGCGUCAUCCCUCCGAGAAGCCCAGUACGUCGCGUCCAGAUUGCCAGCAAACAAACGGCCAGCCACGGUGGUCUGCCAACCUCAAAGCCAACUGCAUGUCUUCUACCCCAUAGAACCAGCAAAGUCGGGGUUGGGCCCUGAUAGCAUGUGAUGGCUCGGCGUCUUCGGGAGCUGGGACUGUCCCCUCUGUAACAUCCGCAUCCAUAGAACCCGUGGUUUCCCCUAAUGUCAGCGUAAGCAUCACACGAAAGCAGCACAUGCCCUUCAUCCUCCACGCCAUCAACGCAGCGGGCGCAUUUCCUGUCACCCCUGGGAAGGUGCUGGUUCCAGUUAGCAGCCAGCGGCCAGCAGCACAUAAUGUAUCCUUGCUGUGUAGGUGCUUGCGCUUUGUGCAUCUUACAGUCUGCGGCUGACAGAAGCUGUAGGGUGAAACGGCAGCGCCCGCCGCCCCCAAAACGUCCUUUUUGGGCUGAGCCCCCUGAGCGAAGCGAUCCAGGGGGGGCGAAGCCCCCCAGGAUUGCCCCUGUCCGUGCCUGCCUGCCUGCCUGCCUGCCUGCCUGCCUGCCUGCCUGCGUUGACAAAAAGUGCCAAACUGGUGCAAACCGCGAGCGCCACGUAUUAUAAAUUGCUAUUCCCUAUUGUAGAAAAAUAGGCGGCAGGGAAAACUCGGCUGGAGCAGUCUACGCCAGCCCAGCCUCUGACAACCGUAUACACCAGCUGAGAGCUUCAGGAACCCGGAGUGGCGCAGCUUGGCGCGCGGUUAUCUCGUCAAAGGUAACGUAGCAGUUGCGGUCGCUGCUCAUGCUCACGCUUUUCUUUUUGCUUGUGCUAGCUCACUGGCCUCGGCUCUACAACGUCAUAUUCGCUUGUGCGUGUUGCGUUCUUUCAAGCAUAUCAAUAGUUUGGCCUGCCCCUGCGAAUCGCUCUUGCCUUGGCCACACUGUCAUCCAGUGACCCAAAAAUCCCUACUUGCGGCAGCCGGGCAGUUCUGUUACCAGCGCACUCACGCGGCAAGCUACCGUUUGCCGGCUCGGUCCAUCAGCCAGGGGCCCCAAAGCGUCUGCCCGGUAUGAUCUGGUAUGAUGCUGUCUAAGGCCCCAUACCCUGCCCCAUACUCAUAAACUUCGUACAGGUUACACGCCAUCUAUAAACAAACAGCUGCUUAACUGUUAGCGUACUGGCUGCAAUAAUAAUAAUAAUAAUUCAAACGCCGGCCCAUGGGGCCUGGCGUGGAUUAUCGGGGUAAGGUGGCUAGGGCGAGGAGGCCCAUCCCCCUCGCGCUGCCACCUCACCACGCACUCCGAGGAGGUGUGGGGGAGCGGUGGCUCACCCACCUCUCGGUUUGAGUUCCUGCUCGGUUACUCGGCGCAUUUUGAUAAUGCCGCCCGCACUGUUCACAGCGUGUGUGUGGAGCCUCUCUCCGCAUACUCGUGCGGCUGUGUGGGUCACCCCAAGUUGAGAGGUGAGCAGCUUAGUGAGGUUGCAAGGGAUGGCCCCAGUCACUCCGAGCGCAAGGCAUUCAUUGGUGGAGUAGUGGACCGUCCAUCCGGCCGCUUCCAGCAGUCGCUUGAGUUCUUGGUGUUGUUGAGAUUUUUCUUCCCGCUUGUCCAAAUGGCGAACGUCAGAGCUGUAACCGAUUUCAAGGAUAUAGAUGGGCAGCCGUGCUUUGUUCAGGGGCGGGCGGUACCCUUCUCUAUGUGUUUCAUGGGCGGGCAGGUUUGGGAUGAACAGAAUGUCAGGUCUGAGCCUUGUAAUAAGGGGUGAUGAUGUCCUCUCCGCAGCCAGCCAGGCGGGGGGGCGUUGUGCAGACGCAUAGUGUGGCAGGUCGGCUAGCGGGCCCGCGUCCAUGACCAUGAACCCGUUCCCGUAGGUCCCUUUGGAGAUGCAUUUGGCGACACGCUGGACUGCCCAGUUGUGCCGAUUGAUGUACGCACCUUUCAUUUUAGGGUGUGUGCAGCCUCCGAGGAUGUGCCCGCCGGAGUCAGGGGUGUGGCAUCAGAGGGGGCAGUUGCCGUUCCCUCCCAGGCGGUAGCGCCGUUUAAGCUGUGCGUUGAAGAGGGUUUUAGGGUUUUAGGGUUUUAGGGUUUAGGGUUUUAGCUGUUUUCGAAUCGCGUCUCAAGACGCAGUGCGUCUCGUGCAUCGCGUGUGUGUGAGACGCGGCGCGUCUAGGGUAUCAGGCUAGCGUCUGGUGUGACGCAUCGCGUUAGCUAAGACGCGCUCUCCAUGCAUUGUACCGCGUCACGACUCGCGUUCCAUUGCGUCUCGCAGACGCAGUGAAACGCGCUAUCUGCAAUGGUGCCCCGCUUCACUGUUUCUGGUUGCGUCCCCAUCGCGUCUCUCCCGCGUCUCCCCCGCGUUUCCCCCUUAACGCGCAGCGUCUCGGCGCGUCUGACACCGCGUCUCACAGGUCAGACGCGGCCCAGACGCGCCCAGACGCGGUUUCCCGUUGUUAUAGUGCAGAGGGGGCAGUUGCCGUUCCCUCCCAGGCGGUAGCGCCGUUUAAGCUGUGCGUUGAAGAGGUAGCCGUAGCGGGCAUAGAGUAUUUGCUUGACCAGCCAGGGUUGCCUGGUGGAGCUGGCGAGGGUGCGGUUGCUGAGGGUGGGGCACAUGUUGGCAGAUGCUUCCGCCCAUUGCUCCAGCACUGGUGUAUUAUUGGUAAAGCCUUGUUGUGCUUCGGGGGGCAAUGAGUUCAGGACUCCACGGUUUAGGUCACUUAGGUAGAAAUUGUCAGAGUUGCGUUUGGGCCACCAGAUGUUGGACCACGGUUCGUCUGGUGCUAAGCGUAUGGCCUGCCCCAUGGCCUCCAUGUCAUUGGCGGCGACUUUGGCGGCACCUUUGUCAGCUUCCUCGUUGCCGAGGAGCCCUGUGUGAGAGCGGACUUUCAGCAGCUGGACUGGGACCCCGGCGUCGGCAUACAUUUGUAGCUCGUGGAGUAUGUUUUCCAGCAGGUUUUUAUGCUUGGAUAGUAGGAGUCGUUGUGGUGCAGUAAGGGCUCGGCGGAUCAAGUAGAGAGACACUAGGGAAUCACUGGCUAUGGUUACUUGGGUCAUGCCCAGCAUACAGAGUCGGGGGCGGAUGUAUUCUAACGCAACGAGAAUGGCUGAUAGUUCGGCUCUCUGGAUUGUGUUGGUGCUGUUGAGGCCACCUGGUUCGACGUAGAUGUGUUCGGUCUGUUGGGACCACGCGCAGGCACCGAGUUUGUUCAUUUCGUUGCCAUCUUCACCGGCCGCAACUUUGAUGCAAGAUCCGUCGGUCCAAACAAUGGUGGCGGCAUCGUACAGGUAGCUGCUCCGAGUGGGGAAGGCAGCUCGUGUGGUGUAGAGGGCAGAGAGCGUGGGCAUGGGCGUAGGGCAUGUGUCCAGGCCCCGUGCUGCUGGGGCUUGGGGUCUAGUUAGCUGCUUUGCACGGGCUUUUGCACGGUGGCUGUAUGGUCGGCCCGGUGGGGCUGUGCGGUCACGGGGGAGGGUUAUGCGCGCGGGCCACUCCAGUGGUUGUCGGCGCCCUGGAGGUUGCGAGGUCGGUGGUGGCACCGCUCCAAGUUCGGCCAGGGAGGUUUGGAGACGUGUCAGGUUGUUGUUGGAGUUGAGUGCUUGUACCCCUGUGGUGUUCGCAAUGAGGAGUAGCUGCAGGCCCUGCUUGCUGCUGGCAGCCUCGUCGGCCGCCCCGAGGCCAUCUAACAUGCUAGAGGCGGAUACGCCAGGCGGAAUCAGGGCCAGGAUGGUGACAUGCGGACUCACAAGGCACCGGCUGGCGGCGCCUUUGCCUUGUGGGAUAAUCAUGAAGGUAAUGGCGGGGGUGGCCUGGUGUUCUAGGUGUUCGAUCGAUGCUGUUGCCCACGCCAGUGCCUUUGUGCAGGCGUCUGGGUCAGGGUCAGGGUGGGCGAGGGAAAGGCCAUCAAACGGGGCCGUGUACGCAUCAUGUGAGGCCCCGAAGAGGGAGUCAGCUGCGUGUUGGCUGUAAUAUUUAGUGGCCCGGCCCGAGCAGUUGAGUGGAGAGGCAAAGCGUUCCACCAGCCCCACUGGGCGGUCAGGGUCUGAGUGUGUCGAGGCAAGGCAGUUAUACAGCGCCAGCUUCAGGGACUCGGGGAGAGAGCGCUCACGUGCGGGGGCUGACUUGCAUGUCUUGCCUUUGCUGUCUACCCGUGCGCGGAGUAGCAGUUUAGCCAAGUCUUCCGGGAAGCCCCCUUGAGAUCGGUGCGGGCUGGUUGCGUCAUGGUGGGUAGAUAGGGCGUGUUCAUACCGAGCUUUAAGAGUCAGCAAGGUGCCUAGCGUAAUGGAUGCUAUGUGGCGUCCGGUAGGGCUGUAGACAUGGGUGAGGGUGCGUUCAUCAGUGUAUGUGUCUGGGAUUUGGAUUGUAUACCUUCCGGUGGGGUGGACGUCGAGGUAGGGAUUGCACGGGUUGGUGUCAAUGCGCGUGUUCUGUUUGGUGGUACGUCGGACGUGGGACGCGGCCACGUCGGCUUGCGUCCAUCGCCCUUGCUGUUGGGCAGGUGUAAGACAGGCAUCUUUGGGCUUGGGUUGUGGCAUGGGUGUAGGGGGUUCUGCAAGUUUCCGCAAGUGUUCGGAGAUGGCAGGGGUCCACCCUUGGAGGGUGGGGCAUUUGUCUACGGGUUCGCUGGUGGGGUCCCAUUUCAUGCGCAGGAAAUGUUUGCAGCACGCUUGCCCGUAUCCCAUGUGUGCGGCAGCAGUCCCAGUAUACUUCAUGCGGGUGUAGGCCUCAGCCGCUCCUAUAACGAUGGUUGUGUCCUUCCAAGCUACCUCAUAGUAGCGCUCGGUGUGGAGACUGUCACCCUUCUCUGGGGCAGUGACGGCUUUAGUGAUGGGCCCAGCUUGAAUGUGCGAGAUUUCCUCUAUGUCGUGGUACAGGGAGUACACUAGUUGCUUCGCUGCUUGGGCAACAUGGUAUGCCUGCGUCGGCCAGGGUAGUUUGCCUGUCAGGAGCUGGAGUCGGAUUCCCAUCCAACGCUUGAAGGGUCUUGGUUGGGGUGGGUGGUCACUGGCUGCAAAACCAUUUAUCUGCCUUGCACGGGGAAUUUACUUGUAUCAAGACAUGCAUACCGUACCGUACUGCUACGCUAGGUUGGGUUUUGGAAUUGGUGACAGGACAAGAUAUGUGGUUCCCCUCGCAAGGGAAAAGUGGGCUGAGGCCGCAAGCGUCUACCUCAUCUCCCGGACAUAGCCGGGGUCGGUUCGUACAGGCACGGCCCGCCACAGGGGUUCGGGGUGUCCAACUCGGCGGUCAGCUGUCGGUUGCCCCCGAAACUUCGGCCCAAACCCCCCUGGAAGUGGGCCGGCUAAGCCAGCGGUGGCGGCAGUAGCGGCGGCGGCAGCGGCGGCGGCGGCGGCGGCGGCGGCGGUGGCGGCGGCAGCGGCAGCGGCGGUGGCGGCGGCGGCAGCAGCAGCGGCAGCAGCGGGGGCGCGUGCACGCAUCUUGGCAGCGGAGGGGGCGGGAAAGGCCACGUGGAGGAGAGCGCAGCGCCGCCCAAGAAGCGGCGCAAGCGCGCAGGCUGACGAGCCGGCUAGUGUCUAGGUAGCGGUCCGCGGUGGGGCUGGCAGGGCAUGCGUAGCGGCAUGACAAGUAGUGCGGCUGUUGACAGAGAUGACGAGAAGACGUUUCCAUGCGUAUCGUCGAUGUACGCAGAAAUGCACAGUUGCGAACCUUGGCGGGAGGUGCCAGCUCGGCGACGCCGACCUCGCUCACCCCCCCCCCCCCCCACCCUUUGCAGCUGCAGUUCUCCUUGCCGCGCGACUGUUUCCUUACGGGAUUGGUUCAACGUUAACCCCCCCCCCCACCCUUUCCCCUGCUGUGUUGUCUGCGUGACAGAACAGCAACGCCGCCUGCCCAUACCGUAUCUUGUCCCAACCCUACAGCUCGGGUAGCUGGGCUGAUGGGCUAAGUUUGGCCAUGUGCCUGUGGAAACCGACUUACCGACCCCGGCUAUGUCCGGGCGAUGAGGUUGUUCGGCCUCAGAUUGUUGAGGGGCUCAGCCCCUUUUCCCGUGACCGGGGAACACUUGUCUAAUAAUUCUUCGUAAUUAUACCGUGUCAUGGAUUUGGUGAUGGGGCCCCCAAACCGUACCGGUACCCUGCAACCGUACGUCCUAUUCAGCCCAAGCAGCUCGCCACCUUGCAGGCGUUCUUCCAUCUGUCAAUCUUUACUGCAGCUCAGAUUGUUGCUUGCAUCCAUACACUUGCAGACACACCCCUCCACACAGCACACGGAGAGCGCGGACGUGGAUCCAGUAUGCACAGGAAUGUGACAGGCUCCGGCAAAGCCUAGUUGGCAUUGUUCGCUGCUCCUUCCUGAUCCUCCCGCCGUAUGCACUGUUCCCUCUGCGGGCUCGACGGCGCAUUCAAGCCCUUCAUAGCAGCUUGGGCCGCAGGUGGUCCUUCAAAGGACUGUCCUACCUUGACGUCGCAUUUACAACAGCAUCAGCCCCAUGCACUUUCUGCACGUAUGACUGCUUCACACCCAGCGGCAUCCGGUAGCGGUCAUGCCCAUGUGAUUCGGCAGCACGCCACCUGCGUGACAAGUGUACUUGUGCCACACCGCAGGAAAACCAAAGCCAUGCCCCAAUUGCGUGGGUAAGCUGUCUGGCGGGCAUCUGCACGAGAAGCCGGCUGGCGCUAAUAGCCCUUGUUGCCCUGGAUCCGGCUCCUCGCGUCCACUUGGCCUCGCCGGCACUGAUACAGGGCGUAGCGAUAUGUUUCACAUUCGGGCGCUUUAUCUGCCAUGCAGUCUUUUAGAUCCCGCUUUUGCACCUGCGGCAGUAAGCAUAGAGGGCGUGUCAGUCUGCCCCGCAGCCCCGUGGCGUGGCUUCGCGUGUCCUAUCCUGUAUGAGCUCAACCAAAUCUGAGGAUCCCGCCUAUACAUACGGGCAAAGGUUGCGCCCGAGGACUCCUUCGGCGGGCCGUGUCAUCGUGUUGGAACCCACCGCCAUACACUCCGUCUUCCGAAUGCACUCUGCAUACUUGGCCAGCAGACCCUUACACGACAUCUAUAGCUGGGUAUAGCAGCACAAGCGCGGCGCAGCGCUCCCUCGUGAAAGCAAUCGAUAGGUGGCUGGUGAAGCUAUGUAAACUGAAACCGCCAGUCGGCAAGGUUGAAAUUUGGUAAGCUGAGCUGUAUACUAUGAAGUUUCGGAGCUAUGGCAGCUUUCGCGUCCAUUAGCGUCCAGCGUGGUGCAACACUCGCAAUGAGCCCAUCGCAGACUGCGACUCUCUUAGCAAAGGAACUGCGUGCGAUUUCGCUUCAAUAUCAGCCAGAAACUACAGGCCUUGGCUAAGCUGGGACCCGCUCCAGUUGCUCGAGCGGAAUUGCCAUAAAUACACUUGCACUUACACUUGAACGCAGCGUUUGCCGAACGGGUCACCAUGGCUGUGCAGUUUUCUAGUCAUAGACAAAGAUGGGCCGUCUUCUCUGGAGGCAACAAGCGUAUGGCGCACCGGCCUGUGCUUGCUCAGGCCAAAGCCGCGGCCACUGUUGCGCCGGUAGCAGGCGCUGCAUCGUCCGGCGUUAGUCAGGGUAAGGCGAUUGAAGGGAGGGCAGCCCAAUUGGUGCAUAUCUGUGGUUACAUGGUAACACCGACUGGAGUACGUGCUCUGGCCCCCACAGCUGAGCUGCGGGAGCGCGUUACCUUCUUCAACACCAUGUCCAAAUCCAAGGAGCUCUUUCGGCCCCGCCUGUCUGACGGCAGUGUGUCCAUGUACGUGUGCGGCGUCACAGUGUACGACUACUCCCACAUCGGUACGUGCAAACAUGCCUCCCGGGUAUGGGGGCGGCACAGGACGCCACUUACGCCAGCAGUGCGAAAGCCCCGCGCCUGUGGGCCAGAUCCACGUGGCAUGGCAAUAUGGCAUGUUGCGGCACAGUGGUCGGAUGGGCCCAGUCGACGGGUCGGUGUGCGGGAACUGACCAGGUCGGGGCUCGGGGGCAGGUGGCGUGGCCAGCGCUUUCAGGUCUGUCGCUGCUUGCGUUGCCGCGUCGUUCGCUCAGCCUUGUCCGCCGCCCUCCUCACCGCACUCCCACCCCCAGGCCACGCGCGUGUGUACGUUGCCUUUGACGUGCUGUACCGCUUCCUGUCCGCCGCCUGCGGCUACAAGGUCACCUACGUGCGCAACUUCACGGACAUUGACGACAAGAUCAUCGCACGGGCGCAGCAGGCACGCGUGUGUGUGUGUGUGUGUGUGUGUGUGUGUGUGUGUGUGUGUGUGUGUGUGUGUGUGUGUGUGUGUGUGUGUGUGUGUUAAACAAAGAAUCAAACGGAACAAUUCCGCCAGACACGCGCGCGCAGUUACCAAUAAAUACCGACGCCGGUUACCGAGCUCCGCGUUUGUCGAUGUUGCCCCAGUUGUCACCUUGAGUAUACUCACCCGCAUAUGUUGCCUGGAACCCCCUACCCGGGCGUUUGUGUGUGUGUGUGUGUGUGUGUGUGUGUGUGUGUGUGUGUAUAUAUUAAAGAGCACAAGGAAAACGUUGCGCAAAGACAGUGUAUGCGAUGCAGCAAAGCGACGGUUUACGGAUGUUACCUGAAGUUACCUCGCAUACCUGCUGCGGUGAGCCGCCGGUCUUACCAACCGGAAAUCGCGCAACCCCCGCUACUCUAACCUCGAGGGGGGAUUAGUGUCCACACGCUCUCAAGGGUGCAAACCCAUGCAUGUGCUCACGGUACCGUGAGGCCCAGGCACUCCUACGAUUCCUAGCUCCGCGUCGCUACUCCUGGCCGCUAAGUCCAAGCUCCCGCCCAAUCCUCGAUGAAAUUCUCACCUACGAGCGAAUAAGAAAACAACAGAGCACUGUGUGUGUGUGUGUGUGUGUGUGUGUGUGUGUGUGUGUGUGUGUGUGUGUGUGUGUAACAACGGUUUACAGUUGUUUAUCAGAUCACGUGAUCGUGUAUCCGGACAACCCGUAGUUGCUAGUGCCAGGGGCGCAGUAGCACCUUGUUUGUCGCGCAUUGGUCUGGCAGCACAUGUCUCCCAAGCCUACGCGUAGCGUUAGUGUGUGUGUGUGUGUGCGUGUGUGUGUAUGUAGAGGAGCGGGCGUGGGCAAUUUCUUCAGGGUCUACAGAGGGAGGGAGUAGGCAGGCACGCAGUCUGGCAGUUUACCUGGCUGCCUGGCGUUGAUUGCUGUGCUUGCUGCCCCAACGCCCACCAGGCCGGGGCUGCGCCGUUGCAUUCAUACGCGUGAUUUACUUCAUCUGUCUUGAACGGCUGCCCCAUUGCUCCUUGCAGUCAGGUGUGGAGACGUCGGAGCUCACGGAGCGCUUCAUAGACGAGUUCAACAAGGUGGGCAGGGUGUUUUCGGUGGGAAGGCUGCGGGAGUGGGGAGCCCACACGGCGCCCCCCCAAUGCCUGCUUCUUGCAUCGCCCAAUCACGGUAAUCAUGCUUGGCACCACGCUUCCCCGAAAGACGUACAUACAUACAUACUCACACAGGACAUGGCCGCCCUCAACGUGCUGCCACCUGCGCUGGAGCCUCGCGCCACGGCCUUCGUGCCGCAAAUGAUCUCCACGAUCACCGACAUCAUCGCCAACGGCCACGCCUACGCGGUGGAUGGCGGCGACGUGUUUUUCGACGUGGCUAGUCUGCCCGGGUACGGACGGCUCAGCGGCAGGCAGCAGGAGGACAACAGGUGCGCGGGGGCAGGGGUUGCUGGAGGCGGGGGCGAGGGCGUAGACCGGGGGCGAGGGUGCUUCGGGUGGAGAACGUGGUGGGUUGCGGUGGCGGCGGCCCCUCAUUGCCAGGGACUUGGGGUGCAGUAAAGGGCAGGGAGGCAUUGGGUGCGAGGUGGUUAGAGGCCUUGGGGGCCGCUUCCCGGCUUCCGCGCCAACGUCGGGUGUGUCCCUCCCCGCGCUGGACCUGGCUGCCACUGCGCUGCCACGUGAUGAGCACGUACACAGAUGCAUGUACUGGCUUCACAUGCGGGGUGUGGGAGGACAUUUCCCACGGUAUCGACUUUUCGCCCUCGGCCGUGACCCCCGUGUGCUUCCCAUUCCUGACCUGUGAACCUGCAGGGCGGGUGAGCGUGUGGCGGUGGACAGCCGCAAGCGAUCGCCGGCGGACUUUGCGCUGUGGAAAGCGGCCAAGCCGGGAGAACCCGCCUGGCCCAGCCCCUGGGGCCCUGGCCGGCCCGGCUGGCAUAUUGAGUGCAGCAGCAUGAUCCGCGAGCUGAUGGGGCCCGUCAUCGACAUCCACGGGGGUGAGUGGCAAGGUUGGGCAGGGGGCGUGGUGCAUGGGGUGUUGGCACUAGGGGGGGGGCUGCGAUCACUACAAGGGCGCGUGACGAGCAUGAGGAGGAGGCGAGUUCUGCACAGAUGGCAUUCCCUGUCCGGCAUCCGAGCCGCACGUCCCUGUCCCACCCCCUGCAGGUGGCCGUGACCUGGUGUUUCCGCACCACGAAAACGAGCUGGCUCAGAGCCAGGCGGCAUGCGGCUGCGGCCAACACGGACACGAGCACGGACACGAGCACGGUGGGCAGCAGGGCGGCGCGUCUACCAGCGGCGGGGAUGGGUCCCAGUCCCAGCUGCACAACGGCACGGACUUUGUUCGGUACUGGCUCCACAACGGCUUUGUUAAUGUGGACAGCGAGAAGAUGUCCAAGUCACUCGGUAACUUCUUCACCAUCCGGUGAGAUCUGAGCGGGAUACCGUUGGUGGAACGCGAGGAGGGGCAGUCCAGGAGGAGGAGGGGAGGAGGCAUGCAUGGAUCAACUUAUGGCACGGACAGGUCGUCUGCGCACGUAUAGCAUCAAAUGUUUAUCUGAAGUUGCAUACAGGCAUUCCAGCGGUCGCCCUCACCUCCUGCUUGUCUCCGCCCCCGCACCCCCACAGCGACGUGCUGGCCCGCUACCACCCGCUGGCCCUGCGCUGGUUCCUUGUGUCCAGCCAGUACCGGGCGCCGCUCAACUACAGUGAUAAGGGGCUUGAGGUGGGAGGAGCGUGAGGGGAGGCGCGGCUGCUGCCAAUGCCAGAUAGUGGAGGGGUGGAUUACCGUAUUAGUGAGCCAGUGCGCACUUCCCGCACAUCCCCUGGCCUGGUGCUGUGUUACGCACGUGAUCCUUUUUCACAUCCUGCCGCCCCCGCUCCCAUGGCCCCUGCAGGACGCCAGUGGGAGGCUGUACUACGUGGCUCAGGCGCGGCUGGACGUGGUGGAGGCACUGCGGGCGGCUGGUGAGGCGGGGGGGGGGGCGGUUGUAAGUACCAGCCCAAACUAAACCAAAACCAACGAAAACGAGGGGAGUGCAGGCAGAGGCGUUAAUUGCAGGGGGGAGGCAGGGGUAAUACCGGGCAGGGGGGUGGUGUGCUAACAGGUGGUGGUAGUAGCAGCUUGGUAGCCUCUGACGCCCUGGCAGCCGAUAGCAGCAAUCAGGCCGCCUACUCUCUGUGCCGCCAUGUGCGCCACCCAUGCUCAGGCGAAGAGGGCCAACGGGCGAUGGCGGAGGCGGAGGUGGUCAUGGCGCAGGCAGCAGCCAAUGCCAACUCCACACCUACCUCUGAAGCGGCGGCACAGCAGGAGGCGGCGGCAGCAGCCCCCAGCGGCAAAGGCAAGGGCAAGGGCGGCGCUGCUGCCGCUGCCGCUCCUGCCGCUGGCCCGGCCCUGCUGUCCGAGGUGCUGUCAGCCCUGGCUGACGACCUCAACACCCCCGCGGCGGUGGGCGCCCUCAGCGCCCCCCUGCGCACCAUUAACGACCUGCUGACCACCAAGGCAGGGCGCAAGCGGCCUGACCGCCUGGCAGUCCUGGCCCAGCUGCACUGCGCCAUGUGCCGCGUCAUGCAGCUGCUGGGCAUGGAGCUGGAGCUGGAGGCAGGGGCGCGGGCGGAGGCGGCGGGGGCCUCCGUUGGGGUGGCGGCCGGGGCGGCGAGCGGGCUGGCGGCCUCGGCGGCGGCGCUGGAGCAGCUGCUGCAGGUGGUUUGGCGCCCUCUUUCUGCGAUGCAGAGCAAGGGACUGGUGUGGAUUCCGUAGUAUGGCAGGCUGUCGCUGGUGUUGAUUCAAGGCUGCUUAGCCCGUGCGCCACGUGGUUGGGUAUGAUGGGUGUGUCUAUAAGCAUUGUCUCAAGAUGAAGGGCUGCCCGUGCUUGAUGCAUGCCUGCAACCACACCUGGCCGUGUUGCAGGAGCUCCGUGCGCUCGCGCUGGUGCGCCUGGACAUGACGGAGGAGGCGGUGCAGGCGGCCAUUCAGGAGCGCACUGAGGUGGGGAGUCGGGGUCGUGGCUAGGGGCUGGAAGGGCGGGUAUCAGGGCGUGUGCCUGCGACAUGAAAUCGUCGACUGUCCUGCAGCCAUGGCGGGCGGUGCUCCAUGUUGGUCUGACUCCAGUGGUAUGUAGCCAUCACACGGUCGCGUCACUGUCCCGCGAGUGCAGGAAAGCAACCAUGUAUACUGAUGCUCAUUAUGAUGCUGAUGCCACCUUGGAACCCUCCCCCUGCCACCCAGGCCCGUGCGGCCAAAGACUUUGCUCGCUCGGACGCUAUCCGCGUGGAUCUGGCGGCCAAGGGCGUACUGCUGCUGGACACGCCGGAGGGCACCUCCUGGCGCCCAGGCAGCGCGGCCAGCCUGUGAGCCUGUGAGCGCGGUGGCGUACGCACGAGGCUGUCGCAGCAAAGGCCUCUGGUGACAGGACGCACAUGUUGUAACCCAGCCGCGGUAUCGCAGUUCGUAGUGAGAAGAAAUGCGGGGAGUGUGUCAGAGUCGCUGCAGGCAUGUUUGAGUCGACGAUAGGACAGAGAGGGCGGUGAAGAAGGUGGAGUCGCUGACCUUGCGACCAUCUGUUGUUGUUAUGCUUGUUAUGCUUGCUGGCUUGGCGGCAGUCGUCCUGCAUGCGGAUGCAUGGGGGUGGAAUGCGGAUGCAUGGGAGCGGAGCUGGGGGAUGGAGUAGGAGGAGGUGCGCGGUUCCCAAUCAUGUCGUCCGGCCUAGGAUUGUGAUGUGAGGAGAGUUGUCAAACCGUUUGUUCAGAGCUAGCCCUCUUACACCCAGGGAGGCUUUGAUCGUUCCAUUUAUCGCCUGUACUAGGCGUAGACCAAACACAUUGUUGCUUCGUGGGAACGCGGCGAAUGCGAUAGAGCCUUUGAUGCCCCUGGUCGGCUGGACAGAGACAGUACGCUGGCGUGGGUGGGCCGUGCUUGGCUGUGAUUGAAGAAGUGCAAAAGCUGUUGACUGUUAGUGCGUUACUAGUUACUACCCGCCUUCAGCACUGUAGCUGCCUGGGGGCCCAGACAGGGGCUUACAAUCAAGCCAUAAUGUCUUCAUGUCUUCAUGCUUGAGCGUCAAGUUCCGUGUCCAGCGUGCAACCGUAGCCAAGCACUAACGCGCAACCCGCGGCCAACACCGCCACGGCUUUCCGAUGCACCGCCACCUCAACUAACUACGCAGCACGUAUUCAGCGCAUGGACCCAUGAAGGCGCCUCUCAUAUGAUGGGAACACACUGUAAACCACGACCCGGACGCGACAAUCAAGUGGCGCUACCGUAUUUGUACUCAGGUGCACCACACCUGUGACCCGGGCUGACCUCGGCAACCUGCCUAAACCCUGUCCCAUCGCACACCCGGGCUGUCGCUUGCAGCCACGUGAAACCGCACAUGUCCACCAUCACUAUUGCAAUGCAUUCACAACCAGCCGCACUCCUGCACAUAUUCUUCACACAAUACCGCAGUUCAUCCCAUCACCCUGAUACCUGCAUACUUCAUGACCACUGCCUGACGCCGCCAACGUGACUCUGAGUGCUAGUAGUAACUGUUUCCUGCAAGCCACACAAAGAUGGAUACCCGUAUGCUGCCCUAUGCCUGCCACUGCGGUUUGGGCAGCAGGUUCUCCUGUGAGAAGGGUGUCCGGAUACUGGGGCCCACCUGGGACGCAAGUGCGGCCCACGCGAAAGGGUCCAGCGACUCGUAGCCCAGCGCGAUGGCGGGCGGCAGACCCACAGGCGCAGGUGACAACUGAGAUGAGGCCUGCGGCCCCGGGCACUCACUUGCAGAAGCUGAGGCUGGCCCCUGCUGUGGCCCCUGUUGCGGCACCCCACCAGCGCCACCUGCCCCGGGCCCCUGCUGCUGUCCCCGGCCUUGCACACCCACAACAACCGUACCCAUAGUAGCGCCCGUCGCCGGGCUGCCACGAUGAUGCGGCGACUGCGGUUGCUGCGGGGCCUGCUGGGGUGGCUGCAGCGCCACAUGUGCGCCCACGUGGUGGUGGUGGGUGUGCUGCGACUGGUGCAGCUGCCGCUCGUCCAGGUCCUGAGGAAACUCGGCAUCCAUGGGCCGCUGCGCGCCACCGCCACUGCCGCCCAGCCCACCGCGCUGAGGGCCGGCCGCCGCACGAGGUCCGGGUGAGGCAUUGACCGCCGCCGGCGCUGAGCUGCCCCCGCUCAUGGACCCGGUGGGCUGCGGGGGCACCAGCGCCUGGCUGGAAGCGGGUGCGCUGGGGCUCGACCCUGAAGAGCCGCUGAUCGGCAUACCGCCGCCGGGUCCCAAUCCCGAGGCCCCGAUGUCGCCGGCCCCAGCUGCGCCGCCGCCUCGCCGCCGCAUGGUGUUGUUGAGGCCGCUACCGCCACUAGCGCUCUCAGCUGCGCCCGCGUUUACAGCACCAGACGCCGCCGCCGCCGCAGGUGCGGGAGCUACGGGCGGCUUGGCACACGACUGCUGCUUGGGAGGAGGCACAGGUAGCAUCUGCGGUAAAGGCAGCAGCGGCCCUCCGCUAGGGCUUGCCGCCCCCUUGCGCGGCGGCACCCCGCGGCCUGCUGCGGCACUACCUGGUCCCCCGUCCACGAUGGGCACCACCCGCGGCAGCGCCCCUGCGCCUCCCGCCCCGGCUUUCCGCCCUCCCGCCCCCAGCAGCCGGGCCGGCACCCGCGCCAGCAGCGUCUCGUCAUCCAGGUGGUCGCCGCCCUCGCCCUCGCCCCAGCCCACAUCCUUGCCAUCCAGCUGCACCUCCGAGUCACAGCCGCCACUGCCGCUGCUGCUGCUGCUGCCGCCGUCCUCGUCCACAUCGCGAAUGCCCAGGUGAGAGAAGCUGAGCUCGGGCGAGGCGGGGGAUAGACCCGCCCCGGCCCGCCCGCCGAAACCGCUCUUGGGCGAGGGCAAGUCGGAGGAGAUGAGCACGAUGCCGCUGGGGGUGGGCACUCCACUGCCGUCGCCGCCCGAGCCACUGCUGCGGUGACCACUGACCUUCACACCGCCACCACCACUGCCUCCUGGCCCUCCCGCUCCUGCGCUGCUAGCUCGGCCCAUGGAGCCGUACCGGGAAAGCCGGUCGUCGGGCCGCACAGGCCGCCGGCCGGCGGACGUCGGGCUCUCAAAUUGCGAACUGCCCGGGCCGCCGAAGCGCGACACUGGCAGGCCAAUGUUGCCAGCCGCCCCGACAGCACCCCCAACCCUGGGCGCCUGCACCUGCAUCUCCGACAGCGCGGCAGUGGAGGCGCCGCCAUCGGAGCCGUGUCCACUCCUGCCGCUGCCUGGGUGGCUGGCGCGGUGCACCCGGCUGUAGCUGGGGCGGGGCUGCCGCACUGCGGACCGGUAGGGAUACAGCAUGCAUGUCAGAGCUGCGGCACGUACUCAUCAAUCCAGCCCUACAACAGUACGGUACAAGAGGCAUCUUGGCCGAGUUCGAUACGCCCAACAAAGCCCUCCCCUAGCAUGACACGCGCAUCGUACACACCGCAGACGCACGCACCUGGCUUGAUCCAUGCUCGUGAGUUGCUGGCGGCCGCUGCCAUAGCCUGUGCAUUCUGGAACAGCAGCACAUGGCGCUGGCGAAUGGACUGCGGCGCCACCAGUGUGCGCGGCUGCUCCGUCUCCACCACGUCACGAGGGUCCAGGGGCAGCUGCACCACAUGGCGGGUGCAACCACCGCCGCUAGUCGAAUUAGAGCCUAUUGCUGUGGCCUGCUGCGGGGCGCGGCCGCAGCUACCGGGUUGGGGGCUCUGGCCCUGGAAGCCCUGCAGCUGGGUGGGCGAGCCGCUUGAGCGAUUGGCGGACGGUGAAGAGCCCUGCCCGUGGCGGUAAGACUGCACGCGGGGGAAGGCGUGGCUGCAGGGGUGCAGCAGGUUGAGAGUGGGCUUUAGGGAGGCGGUGGGGUCGCGCGGCGGCGAGGCCACUGCCCGGCUAGUGAGGUACUGUGUGGUCAGAGGCUGGUCUGCCGGGCGACGGCUGCUGCGGCCCAGGCGGCUGUCCGACUCCGACCUGCAGGUGCCAGGGCAGGGCAGGAGAAUGGGCUGUCGGCAUGCAGGGUCAUGCAAAGGCCAUGCGCGUGUAUGCAGAGUGGCACAACGCAUCCGUGUGGAUGACCUCCUGCAGCACGCACCCGCUGUAGUUAAAGGCGGCCCAGGGCGCAUCCGCGUCCUCGUCCUCGUCAUACGCGUCCCCGUACUCGUCCGGCGGGUGCAGCACCGGCCGCCGCAUAACGUCGAACUGCUGCCGCUCCGCCGCCAGCACACGACACAGCUGGCCCGCCUGCACCGCCAACAGCGCCUUACCGUUGGCGGAGCGAUACAGCUGCGGGUUGAGCAGGUUGGUGGCGGUGCCAAAUGCGGCACCUGACCCCGACCCAGCCCCAGCACUGCCAGAGCCCACGGCGCUCUCAAAUACGGAGGUGCCGUCCAGCCCGUCAACAGCACCAAUGCCGCCACCGCCGCCUCUUGCAAUCACUGGGCCCCCGCCUUUGACCUUACGGCCGCUGGCGGUGCCAGCCAUGGCUGCCGCAGCCGCCGCGGCGGCCUUGAGCGUGGCCUGAAGCGCCGCCACGCCAGUGCGGUUUUCCUGCCCUCCGGCCGCUCCGGCCCCAGCUGCCCCGAGCACGCGGCCACCACCAGGUUGCGCCCAAGCAGGCAGGUCGAAGUCCCAGCCCUCGGCAUCACCCUGGCCCUCGCCUUGCUGCUGCCUCUGCUGCAACUUGGCACGCGCCUGCUGCGCCGCGUCUGCCGCUUGUGCUGCCCGCCGCGCCGUCGCCAGCUGCCGAGCCACGUCCCCCUCCCCGCCGGCAGCCCCGCCCGCGGUGGCCGAGGCAAUGCCGGGCAAGCCCGCCACUCCGGCGCUGAUGAUGGGCACCCGCCCCAGCAGCUGCUUGUCGCGCUCAGCCAGCUGCAGCGCGGCACUGGCGGCAGCGGAGCGGCCCAGCGUCUCGUCACCGCAGUCCCCCGAUUUCUUCAACGCCGCGUUGUGGCGGUUGCGAGCCAGCUGCUCGCGGCGGGCGUCCCGGCGCUUAUUGUCCAUGCGCGCCAGGCCCACCACACGGCCCUCGUAGUAGGACCAGCGGAAGGCAUUGGCGGCCUGCAGCACCCCUUGCACACUGGCUGGCAGUCGCGGGUAGUCCGAGUACUUGAUGGUGUAGACCUUGACACCGCUGUACGACUCAAUCAGCACACCCGCCUCGCGCUCGCGCUCCCGCUCCCGGCCCUGGGUGGGCCCGCCACCGUGUCCGUGUCCGCCCAGCCCUCCGUGCGCCGUGUGUGCUACGCUGUGCCCAGUGGUGGCGGCGCCGUGGCCCAGGUGCACGCUGCUGGCCAGUCCCACCAGCGGCGAGUGCGCGCCUGCCGGGCCCCCGCCGCCGUGCGCCGCCGCGGCGGAGGGGCUCAGCACCGCUAGAGACGGCUCCGCGGUGACGGCCGCAGACGCGCCUGUGGCCAACAGGUUGACGGCGCUGUUGGCGGUGGUGCCGCCUCCCAGUGCCGCGGCCAGGUGCAGGGUGGCUGCAGCGCUGGGGUUGGCGGUGCCGGGCACCGUGGCGGCUGCUGCGGCGGCCAUAACGGACUGCUGCAGCUGCAGCGCCAGAGCUUGCUCGGAAGAAGGCAGCCCGAAGAUAUCGCCCGGGCCCAAGAUGGAGAUGGUGAAGCGGUCGUACAUGGAAGGACUGCGGACAGGAGAAGGCAAAGACUGGCGCUAGGUAAGACGCAGCAGUACACCACAUACAGCAGCAUGCAUGUUGCUGCUCCUCUAGCCUGCACAGCAAUGCCAGAUUGCCGCCUAUUUGAGUCUCCUUUUCCUUGACUCUAAUAAAUGAUGAACCCAGCCCUCCGGAGCCGCCUUCCCGCUCACCCGGUGGCACCUUCGGCUCCGCAACCAUCGUGCUGCGCUCCUUCACGUCCGCCAGCGGCUGCCCCGCCUCCCGCCCUACGCACUCGCGCCUGCCCCUCCGCCAGGAAGUACAGGCAGCGCUCGCGGCUGUCCUCCAGUGGCCACAGGCGGGUGCUGGGCGGGAAGAAGGCCAGCCCCAGCACCUCGCUGGCCGCCUCCAGGUCCGACAGCGGCAGACCCACCAUCAGCGGGUGCAGGCGAAGGUACAUUAACCGCUCAGCCUGCAACAAGUAGUUGCGCCGGGGGAGAGCAAGAAAGGGCAGCGGGCGAGGAGUGAAAGACAAGCCACCGGUAUCAGUGUAUCACUCCUUAUCCGACGCAAGCCACAGCUUUUACCAAGGCCCUGACCCUCUACAUGUCCUCUAUGUUGAAGUGUGCCCUCGCCUGUUCUGUCGCGCCUGCGCACCUGGCGUAUGUCCAGUACCUCCUUAAAGGCUCGGCUGAAGUCGGGUCGCGACAACGACAGCAGCAUGGCGCUGCUGGACGACACCACCACACUGGUGUGCUGCGCCGCCGCGCUCAGCAGCACAGCCUCGCCCACCGUGUGGCCCCGGGACAACACCGCCAGCGUGCGCUCCUCGCGGCCGCCGCCCGGGCUGGGCACCGGCAGCCGCACGUCCAGCUGCAAAGAGGAGGCGCGGGCAGCAGCAGAUGUGAUAAUACUGCUUUUCAUGAUAGGCACGGCUCUGCCCAGUGUCAUCAUGCAUUUGACUAGCGUGUUACAAGUUGGCCAGGUGUCGGCUGCACAUCCGCACGCCCCACCUUGCCCUGCACCACAAAGUAGAGUCGAUCCGGCGGCCUGCCGCGGCUGAGCGCCACCUCCCUGCGCGCCAGGAUGUGCACCGUCAGCAGGCGGCACAGCUCCCACUGCAGCGGCGCCGGCCACAGGCUGAAGAAGUACGACAGCCCGUUCAUGUAGGCACAGAUGAACCUUCAGGGGAGCGGGGGGAGCGGGGCGGGUCAGGGAGAACAGGGGUUGCAGGGGGCCGGCGCACGGGGCCGGCGGCGGGUUGGAACUGCUUAGGGCAGCCCAAAAAGAUGCAGGCCGAGAGGACAGCGAGCCCACCGUCCACAGCCGACAGCCCACAUCCACGCACUUGAUAUCCUCCUGUGUGCGUGCCACAGAGGGCUUCUGGCACAGCUCCACCGCCCGCAGGUCUGCCUCCGCCUCCGCCGCACACGCCACCUUCAUACUGGGGCUCCUGGGGCAGGAAGGGCGGCGUACCGUACGCACACACGCCCGAACGCGGCAACCAAGUCAACGCACAUGAGCUUUCACAUGCCGCAGCUCAGCUACAACUCAGACACACAGGAAAAGGCGCCACAAGCCAGUUUCGCACUGCCAUGCUCAGGCUCACCGCUUUGGUUUGGGCGAGGUUUGGGCGAGACUGCUCCCGGCCGUGCUGACCUCUCCCGUCCACUCGUGCUGUGGGAACGGCUGGCCGCUGCCGCCAUGCAGGGCUGCAUAGGCGGCAUCAAUGGCCUUACUCUCCUUCACGACGCCUUUGCUCCAGAUUGCGGCGUCAGAGUCCCGCAGACCACGGCCCCACGACGUGGACUCGCCCACGAGCGUGCCCAUUCGGGUGGGGUGACCAACGGGGCUUGGUAGGUGCUCCCGCGCUACCCAGCGGCUGCGGUAACGGGACCGCAGCUAGCUGCAUAAAAGGCUUCUAAGGCGACACCGCGGCUGUGAGCAAGCCCAGCCGGAAGCGUCCACAGGCAUGCGUCCCUCCGCAACUGUCGGUAAGGCCUAAUAUAACUGGUUCAUACUAUAUAUACUAUUGCGGGUAGGUAUUUCUGUAUCUGUUGCCAGCCACUACCACUAUCGAAGUGCUGUUUGUUGCUCAACUCGCAAAAGCAGUGCUAGUAUUUGGCAACAUACACGUAUACUGUAUGUCACCGGUUGAAGGUUUGUGCGCUCCUUGAGCAAGCUUUCUGAGGUUCAUUGCAUUAUGCAUCGCAAAUUCAGCAACCGCCAUAGCCCAGACACUCGAACGCAGACACAAAUUGCCACAAGGCUGAAAUGCCGCAAACAUGAAGGUUCCUGUGUGCUUCCUUCGUUUUGACAGUCGCUUUCUCCUAGGCGAGGCGUUUGCAGCUGCAAAGAUGCUGCCGCUACUUUUAAUAGUGCUUUUGGGGAUGGCUGGGUGCGCAAGGUCAGAGAGCGUACAGAAAGGCGAGUACCGAUCACAGGAAUUCCUUCCUUGCAACUUCCCACCGCGCUUGCCCGUAAAAGGGAGGCGCGUUGGUCGCGAAUGCUUCUCUGGCUAUGCAGCCUUGCUACUCGCUUCGCUGCCCCCAGUCGCCAACUCUGGUGCACCGCACCUACCUAUGUGCGUCCCUGACACGACCAUGCCACCGAAGAGCGUGACACCGUGUGCUGUGCGGGGACAUUUCUGGAUUCUGCAGAUCCGCUGGCCAUGAUUGGAUUCCACGAGGGCACGCGGCGCUUUGCGGAGUGUGCGGCGGGCGGCACUCUGGUUGGUGUGGAGGUCGGGUUCGUGGAGGACGCUUGGAGCUUCGGUGAGGCCUUCAUCGGCUCGGUGCGGCUCAUUUGCAGCAGGUAUGCUUGUGUGGGUCGUCAGUGGGUGCUGGGUGCAUGGUGAUGGAUGGAUGGUCAUGCUUGAUGAGCAUUGGGAUGGGUUCGCCAAUCGCCACAUGUAUGCGUGCACUGGCUUCUUGAGGGUGAAUGCCGGAGCUGUGGCCAAUGGGCAUGUAGGCCUUACUCCCAACCUACCACUGCUGGCUCCGCGUUUCCAAUCCGCAGCAAGAAGGUGUCGGUUGAGUACCUGGGCGACCAGGACGAUACCUUUGUUUUCGGUCGCUUGAACCUGAAGACAAUUCGUAAAGGUACACAACGGAUAUCAUGUAACCAGGCCUCGUGGAUCCCAAUCCAGUAAACAGGCUGCAGCACCUGGGCCUGCGCGGACGCGCGCGCAGCUUGUACUAAGCGUACCGGCAUCUUAGCCCUGAUGUGCCCUUGCUGCGUGAACCCUGCAGUUGAGUGUGAGGGCGCCGGCGGUGUGGCCGGCUUUAAGUGGCGGGCGGCGGCCAUCAAGAACCCGGAUGGCGCUGAGAUGCGGCAAGCGGGCCUGGUGGUGCUGUGCAACAGGUGCGCACCGUGUGUGGGGAUAUGGGACUGCCUUGAUGGGAGUGCCUUGGAUAGGUGCUCUGCAUGGAUUGGUGGGGGACAUCGCAGAUGUUUGUAUCAUUGCCCUGUACCCGAACCGGUGCCAUCACGUCAGUCGCAGCCGGUUCAAAUUGUUACUUGCUCGCUGACAUUGUUGACGACAGGGCCGGCAACGCCCCCUUGGAGAUGGUGCUGGAGCAUUCGCCUGCGGCAAGCCAUACCUACCCCAAAUCCUUCACCUGCAAGCACGUCACGCAGUACGCAGGGCUGGACUCGCCCAAGCUCACCAAGAUGCUCAUGUGGUUCAACCGCAAGUCGUUUGCGGCGCUAGAGCCACUGGAGUGCGCUUGAGCUGCUGCGGGUAAAUGGAUCGCGGCUAAGGGGGCCUGUCAUAGCCACGCGCACAAUGCAACUUGAAAUUUUUGCGCAAUUAGGAUCGGUUGGGUAGCGUUCUGGCGGCACACCCAGAGUGUAUGGCGACACCCUAAGUGCUUUGACCACUAGCCCUAGGGGAAGGGAACUUGACCGGAGUGCAGGCUCUUGAGCGGAAGACGGGGUUGUCGAGAUGCGGCACUGGCAGAAGGUUACGGGGACUUGGGGCUGUAGCUUAGGAGUUGAGUCGGGAAUGAGGCGUCCUCCAGUCAGGAGGGCACCAGGGUCGUGGCUUGAGCUGGAGAGCUGGGGCUGUAACUUGGGCUGGAUAACUGGGGAGAGCCGAGCUUAGGGCAAGCAGGCAGCUGCGGGUUUUGAAGCCAGGGAGGCUUGGGGGAAACAGGUCCACGCAGGCAAGCAGGCACCUGUCCAAGUGCCUAUGAAGUGGUAAAAUGUCUGCAUACCGUGACAUCUUUGUGCAGCUUCAGCCGAGGUAGUUACAGGAGGGGGAUAUGACGGCGUUCCCUUAUAGCACGUUCCUUGUAGAAUACCCUAUUGUGAUCUGGCGGUGAUGGGCCCGGGAGGCCUGUAAAUGGCAAGUGAGGCUGGUUGGCAAAGGCGUGAUGUCUGAUGUCGAGACGCGGAUGACAGGCGCUAAAUUCUUACGCAUAAACAGAUAAAGCGCAUUACUUCGUCCUGGCUGGUUGCCUGUUCUGCUAUGUAGCCGCAGUUUGAAUGUCGUGACACGUCGGGACACUGCGAAAGCCGCGGCCCCAUGGGCACGGAUGCCCCUAGCCACCAGCCCUCUGGAAACUCUUGCUUUAAGUUUAAGCCACCGCUUUAAGGGUCCCGCGUUGGUAGGGAUGCGGGGUAUGCGUUGUUACAGGCUUACAGCUUGUGCCAUGUGGAUGUGAUGUCGGAUAGCGUCCAUCCACAUCCUGUGAUUGCGGACUAGCAACAUUGAUGUGUGCGUAUCCACACAAGUGUUGAGCCCACCUGAUAGCCAAUAGGCAACUCAUGCUCCCAUUUGCUCAGAAAGUUCAGCGCCGCAUUUGGAGCGCUAAACUGCUGGUGCCAGCCACCAGCCAUAUAUGCAUUCAUCCAACAGCUGCGUCCAAACACGACAGCUUUCCCGUGCCAUACCCGUGCCAUAAAGGGCCAUAACACCCCUGCGCCACUGUCAUCUUUCACAAGCCCCCUAAUGGCCACGACGUCAAUACUCCAAGAAUGAAAGUCAUUACACUUAACCGCCGGUCGUCCAGGUUGCUUUCUCUUGCUACUUCUUGCCACCCGCCUUGGGCCGGUCCAGGCGCAGCUCCGGGAAACAUUGCGCCAGCGUUUUGGCAUCCGGGGCGCGCGGGUCGGGCUGCUUGAGCAGCAUCGCGCUGUAGGAGGGCACCUCCACGACCCGACCCUCGCGCUCCACCUGACGCAGCAACAAUAAGAGGAGGUGGAGUCGGUGUGUAGAUCCCCGCAGGCAAGACUGACAGCGCAGCACCCGUAGGACGACAUGACACAGGCACUGGCUGCCAGUGAGUCGAUCAGCACAACACGCUUGUAAACACUCACACAGCCCGGUCAAGUACCUCGACGGCCUUGUUCCUGUCCCAAACCCACCUUAACUUUGCCCGCCUUGGUCUGGCAGCCCAGCUGCCCCAGCGCUGCCGCCAUCUUGGUCGCGUCCAUCUGAGGGACCAGGCAGCAGCAGGCCGUCAGCGGGAACAUGGCACAAUCCAGGUGAGGCAAGAAGGCGCGAAGCUCAACACUUAGACUGUGACAACCAUUAAGAGGGAUCCCCGACAGCGGCUUUGCAAAUGCAUGACCUGAUACAACAAACGACGGCGCGGAGAUCUCAGGGAUAUCCAACGUCUUGUGCUGCCGCGCUGUCACUUGCAAGUCAAGAUUAAAAGGCCAGCCGAUUUCAACA
This 50107-nucleotide long non-coding RNA is filed under the name Chlamydomonas reinhardtii. RNAcentral describes it as "long non-coding RNA (CREI_LNC000085)". The record is from RNAcentral. Lineage: Eukaryota; Viridiplantae; Chlorophyta; Chlorophyceae; Chlamydomonadales; Chlamydomonadaceae.